RNAcentral lists this long non-coding RNA (68148 nucleotides) under Prunus persica (peach). Its description in RNAcentral is "long non-coding RNA (PPER_LNC008258)". Lineage: Eukaryota; Viridiplantae; Streptophyta; Magnoliopsida; Rosales; Rosaceae. The record is from RNAcentral.
AGUUCUGAAAUGAGGAUGCUUUGGAUAUAAUCAUAUCCAAAUUCUUUCAUCUUGGCUCAGUGAGCUCUGAAAUGAGGAUGGUUCGGAUAGAUUGGAUGACCGAUUCGUAUACACUCACACACUCAAGCGGGAAGUGAGAUCAAGGAAGGUGUUUUCACUGCAGGGGAUUGUGAUACCUCCCAUGGGAUGAUCAUAUCCGAAUUCUUCUUCAGCUUGACUCAGCAAAUCCAGGAAUAAAGGCUCAUUCAAAUAUGAUAUCGGAAUCACAAACCGCUUCUUCUGGCUCUCCCCAACAUAGACUGCAAGGUAGCCUUUUGGGAUAUCUAAAGUCUUUGAAUCUGCUGUCUGGCUUGAACUAGAUAGAGAUCGAAUGAGACUUCUCUUUGCAUUAACAAUUGCAGGCAACCGGAAACCCAUGAUCUUAUAUAUUCUCAAAGGACAAAAGAAGAGAGGGAAUUCAAAGGACUUGGAUUUGGAAAGCAGAGAAAGCUUUGGUGCUUGAGAAGGUGAAGACUUGAGUUGCUCAUGAUGAACUUGGUCAUGUGUAUAUAUAGAUCAAGGGUAUCCAGAAAAUCAACAGCUACAUGAAAUUAUUGGUCUGAGAUGGGCUCCAAUGAGGGACACUUGAUUGUGAGAAAUCACAUGGGCUUGUCGUCCUUCUCACGCAACACAUCCUCGAAAGAUUUCUCACGGAACUCUUCCCUACCUCCUCUAGGUAACAGACAACAAAAGGACCACUAGAGGUGAUUCAAUCCAAAAGACUUAUGUCUGUUAGGUAAGUAGCAUUUAUGCUUGAGACAUGCACUUCUCUUUGUUCACACUAAAUCAACUGACCACAUAAUUGGACUAUUAAACUACAAAGUUUCUUGAAUAGGUCUGCUAAUGAAUUGCCCUCUCACUUCAUCAAAAGACCAACAACACUGCAUAUGUUGUGGUCCUACCCAACACUAAUACAAUUGUGUUGUGUGGUGCUAAAUAGCUUGCUUGGGAGCAGCAAGGCACCCUACAUGUGGCUUUGUAGUUACGACUCUGAUCUUCAGUCUCAGCAAACAAAGGAGGUAUUUAUUUCAUUUUGUUAGGCCAAUCUGGACUUAACCAGAAAACACUAUUGAUUUAAAUAGUUGACAUUACUUGAUCAAGAAAACUGAAGUUAAUAAAUUGAACUUAAGCUACUCGGUCUAAACUCAAUUUUUAAAAAACCAUUUUCCAUUACAACUCUUGGUUUAACAAAACCAUUGCCAGUCUUGUUUUAGGCAAGUUCGGCGAAAAGCCUACUAGAGAAAUCUAGAAAAUUCUAGAGAGAAGGAGAAGCUAGGUUGAUAAUCUCUUCUUGCCUUUGCUUAUGGCAACAACUGAAGAAGCCAUGUAAACUUGGCUUGCACUCUCUAGCAUAGGGAAAGUCGUGCAUAUAUAUUGUGCCAUUUUUUUAUGAAAGAAACUUAGUUGUUCGGCUCAGUGUCUCUCUAUAUUAACUCAUGAUGACUCUCCUCCUUAUUAUUCUUUCAGUCCAUUGAGAGAUGUUAAGCAUACUGUGCUUAAUAUAUUAUUAAAUUAUCAGAUACAGUCAUUUUGGCCCCAUGGAUAAAGGAAGUACAAAGUAAACCAUUAUACUUUCAUUUUCUGAAAAAUAUGCUGUCAUUGAUGAUUUUAUUUUAUGACAGAGCUACAAGUACAAUGAAAAAUAAGACAAGAAAGUGGAUCAGGAUUUAAAUUUGCAUUCCAAUAUAUUUUCCUGGAGAGUAACAAAGGUUACACAUCAGAAGAUCAUAGCAUCCAACCCAAAUGUGGAGAGGCCCAAGAUCUUUUAUACUACAAUGCACGUCUUUAAGUUCCGUAUGUACUCUCAAGAACAAUAGUUCAAAAUUUCAAUCAUGAUUUUGGACUAAAGUUUUUCAACGUCCAUAGUAUCUUCGUUUGUCGGAUUCAUGAACUUUUUAACUUUAUGCUCAGAUCACAAGCAGCUUCAGGCUUACAGAUUGCUUCCUCUCAGCACAAGAUGUAAGUCGACUCAGUGGACGAUCAAGAAUAGCCUCUUUCUCAUCAUUACUCAGUGAGUUCUGGAAUGAGGAUGCUUAUACAUGAAUGAAUUUGGAUCAUAGUUUCUUUUCUUUGGUGUGCACUCAUACACUUAAGCGGGAAGUGAGAUGAAGGAAGGUGUCUUCACUGCAGGGGAUUGUGAUACCACCCAUGGGAUGAUCCUAUCCAAAUUCUUCUUCAGCUUGACUCAGCAAAUCCCGGAACAAAGGCUCAUUCAAAUAUGAUAUUGGAAUCAAAAACCGUUUCUUUUGGCUCUUCCCAACAUCGACUGCAAAAUAGCCUUUUGGGAUAUCUAAGGUCUUUGAAUCAUCUGUCUGACUUGAACUAGAUAGAGAUCGAAUGAGACUUCUCUUGGCGUUAACAAUUCCAGGCAACCGGAAACCCAUGAUUUAGUAUUCUCAAGAGGACAAGACAAGAGGAAAAAGAUUGGCAAGGAAUUGGAAAAAACAGAGAGAGCUUUGAUGCGUGGGAAGGAUAGGACUUGAGUAGCUCAUGAUGAACCGAUCAUAGUAUAUAUAUAGCUGAAAGGUAUGCAAAAAAAUCAUCAGGUACAUGGAAUGAUUUGUACCGAAAAGGAACUGAGAGGAGAAGCAAUGAGGACCACUAGCUGUACGAUAGUCAAAGUUUACACUAGCUGUUAUCAUUCUGAGUUUAUCUCUUUCUCAGAUUAGGAAGAGGUACUCUUCUAGAGCAUUUAGCUAGAGAGAAUGAAUAGGAGAAUAUGAAAAAUGCACUGUUCUAUUGAUUUCUGCAAAACUGCAGCUUACAAAGUGUGACUGCUAGGAGAGAAAUGUGAUUCUCUUCUAACAGAAUUACAGCUGUCAUCCUAUUAGAUUCUUACACCUGUCAUAGCAAAUCUAAGCUAGAGAAUCCACCUAGACUAUGAUCUAAUGGCUCUCCUUACAUCAUUUAAAUAAGCUGACCAAAAACAGAACAAAUAGAGAAUAGCUUCAGCUCUAAGAAAUCUGCUGCAGGAUUAUAUUUCAACACUCCCUUCUAAUCCUUUAGCUGAUUUCACACCAAGCAAGCUUCUCAGCCUCACAAACCGAUCCUUAGGUAGAGCUUUAGUCAAGAUGUCUGCUAUCUGAUCUUCUGUUUUGCAGUAUAUCAGUUCAAUUUCUUUUGCUUGAAUGGCUUCUCUGAUAAAAUGAAAUUUCCUGCUGAUGUGUCUUGUCUUUUGGUGAUGGACUGGAUUCCUUGCCAUUGCAAUUGCUGAGGUGUUAUCACAUAGAAUCUGAGUCCCUUCUAUCUGUUCUUCACCAAAAUCUUCAAGCACAAAUCUCAGCCACUUAGCUUGUGAAGUUGCUUCUGCAGCACUCACAUAUUCAGCUUCGGCUGUAGAUAGAGCAACUGUGUUUUGCUUGAUGGAAGCCCAAGAGAACAUGCCUGAGCCUAGUGUGAAGGCAUAUCCUGAGGUGCUCCUCAUAUCAUCUUACUCCCAGCCCAGUCACUGUCACAGUACCCAAUUAGAGUAGCUGUCUUCCCUUUUGCAAACUCAAUUCCAAAAUCCAAUGUGCCUUGAAUGUAUCUCAGCACCCUUUUAGCAGUUCCCAUGUGUUUCUUUGAGGGAUUGUGCAUAAAUCUAGCAAGCAAGCUAGAUGCAAACAUGACAUCUGGUCUUGUGGCAGUCAGAUAAAGGAGACUUCCUACAAUCUGUCUGAAUUCACUUUCAUCUGCUGCUUCACUCCCAUCUUCUCUACACAAUUUCUCAUUCACCACUAAUGGAAUUGCCACUGACUUGCAAUCUCUCAUUCCAAACUUCUCAAGAAUUUUCAUGGCAUAUUUCUUUUGAUGAAUGAAAAUAUGCUUGUCAGUUUGUUCCACUCCCAUGCCAAGAAAAUGAUGCAACAGACCCAAGUCUGUCAUCUCAUAGUGUUGCAUCAUAUCUUGUUUAAAUUCUUCAAGCAUUUUAGGACAGCUUCCAGUGUAUAUAAUGUCAUCUACAUAGAGGGAGACAAUGAUAAUACCUGAGGUGUCACUAGUUUUGAUAUAGAGAGUAGCUUCACUUAAGCUUUUCUUGAAACCUGCAGUGUUGAAAUAGGCAUCUAUUUCAUCAUACCAGGCCCUUGGGGCUUGCUUCAGUCCAUAUAGAGCCUUGUUCAACCUGAACACCUUGGUUUCCUUGCUCUCUUGAACAUAUCCUUGAGGUUGUUCAACAUAAACUUCCUCCUUUAGAAUGCCAUUGAGAAAAGCAGACUUCACAUCCAAUUGAAAUAAGUUCCAUUCCUUUUGUGCUGCAAGGGCUAUCAAAGUUCUGAUGGUGUCAAGUCUUGCCACGGGGGCAAAUGUCUCAUUAUAGUCGAUUCCAGGCUUCUGUGAGUAGCCUUUAGCCGCAAGCCUAGCUUUAUUCUUCUGCACAGUACCAUCUAGGUUCAGUUUGACCUUGUAGACCCACUUAACACCAAUUACUGGUUUGUUAGAUGGCCUGUCAACUAAUUUCCAAGUAUUGUUCUUCUCAAUCAUCUCCAAUUCAGCCUCCAUUGCACAUCUCCAUGAUUCAUCCAAAUCUGCUUCUUCAAAGCUGUCAGGUUCUACAAUGCACAUAUUGCAUUGUGCCAUGAUGUCAUUAAUACUCCUCCACUUGUGAGGUGUGUGAUCAAACCUUUGAGUCUCAUCAAGCAUUUCUUCCCCUUGAGGUGCAAUUUCUUCUUCCAUCUACAUUUGAGUAUCCAAGAACUGAGAGUGAUCAUCUAAUACCCUCUGUUCAGUUUCUGCAGUAUCUUGAUUUCCAUCUGGCAUAGGUAUUCCCACAUCUGCAUUGCUAGGAUUCUCCCAUUUCCAUGAGGCUUCUUCAUCAAAAUAGACAUCCCUAGACAAGAUAAUCUUUCUUGUCUUAGGAUCAUACAGUCUAUAGCCUUUUUCACACAAUCCAUAGCCCACAAAAAUGCAUUUGUGACUGUUUUCUUCCAACUUGUGUCUCAAAACAGAAGGAAUAAGCACAUAACAUAGGCAUCCAAACACUUUCAAGUGUGCAAUACCUGGCUUUCUUCCUGUGUAGGCCUCAAAUGGUGUCAUUUUCUCAAGAGAUUUAGAAGGACAUCUGUUGAGAAGGUAGACUGCUGUAUGAACAGCUUCUGCCCAAAACUCAUAAGGAAGAUUCUUUUCAUGUAGCAUAGACUUUGCCAUCUCAAUUACUGUCCUGUUCUUCCUCUCAGCAACUCCAUUUUGCUGAGGAGAAUAUGCCACUGUCAGCUGCCUUUGUAUUCCAGCCUCACUGCAGUAUGCAAGGAAUUCAUUUGACAUGAAUUCUCCACCUCUAUCACUUCUAAGUGACUUCACUUUGUGUCCACUCUGCAAUUCUGUCAUUGCUUUGAACUUCUUGAAACAUUCAAAAGCAUUAGAUUUAUUUCUGAGAAAAUAAACCCAAGCCAUUCUUGUAUGGUCAUCAAUGAAUAAUAGGAAAUAUCUGUUUUCUGACAUUGAUGCAGUCUGCAUUGGACCACAGAUGUCAGUGUGAACUAAUUCUAGUGGAGACUGAGCUCUCCAAGUAGAUUUUGCAGGAAAUGAGUCUCUAUGCUGCUUUCCCAACUUGCAGCCUUCACACACUGCUAAGUCCUUCUCCAGACUAGGCAGUCCAUGAACCAUGUCUUGAUUUGCUAGCAUCUUGAUGCUUUGAUCAUUAAGAUGACCCAGCCUUUUAUGCCAAGUCUGCAAACUGUGAGUCACACUUGCUCUCAGCACCAACUGAGUAGCAGGUACCAUUGUGAGAGAGAAACUGUCACACCCCGGACCGGCUCCGCCGUAGCACGAUAUUGUCCGCUUUGGGCCCCCCUCUCUGCCCUCACGGUUUUGUUUUUGGGAGCUCACGAAGCAACUUCCCAGGGUGGUCACCCAUCCUGGGAUUGCUCCAGCCUCCCACUCGCUUAACUUUGGAGUUCUUACAACUCUGAAGCCAGUGAGCUCCCAAAAGGCCUCGUGCUACGGCGGAGCCGGUCCGGGGUGUGACAAUUUGGUAUCAGAGCCACUCUGCCGUGUGGUGCGAGUGUGCCGACGAGGACGUCGGGCCCUUAAGGGGGGUGGAUUGUAAGAUCCCACAUCAAACCAACGGAGAGGGGGGUGAUGUGCCUUAUAUGGCACACCCGCAUCCAUCUAGCACGAGGCCUUUUGGGAGCUCACUGGCUUCGGAGUGGUAGGAACUCCGAAGUUAAGCGAGUUGGAGGCUAGAGCAAUCCUAGGAUGGGUGACCCACUGGGAAGUUGCUCGUGAGUUCCCAGAAACAAAACCGUGAGGGCCAGAGAGGGGGGGCCCAAAGCGGACAAUAUCGUGCUACGGCGGAGCCGAUCUCGGGAUGUGACAGAAACACCUAUUGCUAGUCAUUGGAACCUUAGCUAUAGGGUUUUGCAGUGACCAAUCAUCAAAAAUUGUCACCAUUCCCUUUCCAAAUACUAAACAAUACCCAUGUUCCAUCAUCUGACCAACACUUAGCAAGUUCUCUUCUAAACCAGGCACCAACAUCACUUCUUGAAUGUGUUUUCUGCCUGAUUUGGUUUCUAUCACAAGAGUACCUUUUCCUGCAACUUGAACUGUCUCUCCAGUCCCCAUUUUCACCUUGGAAGUUACAUUCCUUCGAAUGUCUAUCAGUAGCCUUUCAUCUCCAAUCAUAUGGUUGCUACAGCCACUGUCCACAUACCAAGAGUUGCUCAUUUUCACAUCUGUCACAGCAUUGCAUGCAUAAAACAAUGUUCCAGUUUCUUCAACCUGAUUGGCAUAGUUCACCUUUUGCACAGAUUGAUUGUCAUGACAAUUUCUAACCAUGUGACCAAACUUUCCACAUCCUCUGCAUUUUGGUUUUCCUUCAAACCAGCACUUGCCAUAGUGCAGUUUUUCACAGUGCUUGCAGGGUGUUUUAGUUCCAUCAUUUGAUGCAUUUGGUUUGGUAUUUGAAUUGGACUUGUUAUUCCAAUUCUUCCUAUUUUCCUUCCAGUUCUUCUGAGACUUGUUACAUCCAGAAGAACUUCCAUUCUUAGAGCUUUUACUCUCAAUGUUCAGACUAGUGAAAGCCUUUUCUGUUGAAUUUUCAUUGUGCCUGUCUAAUCUGAGCUCAAAGUUCUUGAGAGAUGCAACCACUUCUUGAAUUUCAAGAGUGUCAAGAUCCUUUGAAUGCUCAAUCACAGAACAUAUAGAAUCAUAAGAUCUAGGCAAACUAAUAAGCAAUUUCUGCACAACUCUUUCUCUAGGUAACUCUUCACCAUAAUUCUUCAUUUGAUUUAUCAGAUCAAACAGUUUAGCAGCAUAAACAGAAAAUGAUUCACUAUCCUUCAUACGAGUGUAUUCAAACUCUCUACGUAAGCCUUGUAGUUUCACACUUCUUACCUGUUUAUCACCUCUAAACUCCUGCUUCAGGAUAUCCCAUGCACCUUUUGAGGUUUCUUCAUUCACUAUUCUGGGAAAAAUUUGGUCUGAGACUGCACCUUGGAUCAGUCCAAGUGCACGAGCAUCUUUCAUCAAGGUCUCAGCUGAUACAGAUUUCUCUUCUUCAGCAGCUUUAGAUCCCUCUUCCUUUCCUUCUUCCUUCGUUGGAUCUGAAGCAUCAAAGCCAUUUUCAACUAAAUCCCACAGUCCAUGAGAUUUCAGAAUGGUCUUCAAUCGAAUGCUCCAAAACUUAUAGUUUUCUCCAUUGAAUACUGGUGUACGAAGCUCAGAAGAGCUUGAUCCUGCCAUAUUAGACAUCAGACGCAGCUAGACAAGCUUCGUGAAGUUUUGAGUGAGCUCAAUCGUCAGCUCAGCCAAGCACCAGCUCCUUCUUCACAGAUUCACGCCCAAUAAACAAUCAAAACCUGGCUCUGAGGCCAUGUUAUCAUUCUGAGUUUAUCUCUUUCUCAGAUUAGGAAGAGGUACUCUUCUAGAGCAUUUAGCUAGAGAGAAUGAAUAGGAGAAUAUGAAAAAUGCACUGUUCUAUUGAUUUCUGCAAAACUGCAGCUUACAAAGUGUGACUGCUAGCACUACUACAAAAAGUGAAAAAGACGACCAGAAAACAACGACGGUCUAAGUGAAAACCGUCGUGGUUUUUAAAAAGACGACGGUUCUAAAAACACCGUCGUGUAAUACAACCUUAGACAACUAAAAAAUGGAGAUUCAAAUGGCUGUUCAAAAACAACGACGUACAUAAUUAAACAACCGACGUCUAUUUGAAACAGAUUUCCGCAGUGUAAAAUCAAUGCCAACAAAGAACAGCAGAAGUUAUGAAUCGACCGACGUAGAAAGUAAAGACGACGAUUUCAAUAAAAACCGCCAUUUUUACUCAUAAAAUAACACGACGAGGUUUUCGUAUAAGACGCCGUAUAAUUACAAACAAAUCCAUGGCUUUAAAAUACAAAAUAUCGCCGUAUUAAAUUAAUGUACAACGACGGAAAAUAUAAAUAUAUGGACGUCAUUCUCGUAUAGUUCUACGACGUUAUCUUUAAAUCGUACAAUAAAAUUUAACAUCGUAUUUAUUCAUUUUAUACGUCGUACAUGUCGUCUUAAUAAGAAUUUUUGUUAACAAUUUUUUUCUUUGAUUUUCUUAUCCUACGUCGGUAGAUCUACUUAAUGACAAGAAUUGAAAUAACCACGACGGUUUAUAUAGAAAACCGCCAACAUAAUCAGAUUUGUCUGAGAUCCCAAGGGUUACGAAAUCUUACCAGAUGGAACUCUGUUCCACAUCAUAAUCUUAACAGAUGACACUGAUUUGCAUUCAGAGAGACAAUUUUUUGGAAGUUGAUGAUGUGUGUGCGUUUGUGUAUCUACAAAUAUUAUACCUAACGUCGUUGCAAAUUUGCAAUCAGAGAGACAAUUUUCAACGACGGUUAUAUUAUACCUAACGACGUUUAAAAAACAAAUCAACGUCGCUAAACAAAUAUAUUAUGUCGUCUUAGUCUUACUUAAGACGACGAAAAACGACGACAGUAAUAAAAAACAGUCGUUGUUUUUAUAUUCUUAUUUUAUUUAAAUCUGUCCUCCAAAAAAGAAACUUUACAUAUUCCAGAACAUUAAUUUCCUUCAUUUUAAAUUUCCCCCGGAAAAAAAAACUCUAUUUAUAACGCACUGUAAUUGAAAAAUAAACUGAAAGGUCACGGGAAAAAAAAUUCUAUUCAUAAUUUAAAAAUUCAAAUCCACGUCGGUUAUAUUAAACAUAACGACGUUAAAUGAAAAGAUUCCACGUCGCAAAACAAAUAUUGCGUCGUGUUAGUUAAAAACGACGGCAUAACAAAAAACCGUCGUUGUUUCAAACUGAAUUAAUUUAUUCGGGAAAGCAAAAUCUAUUUAUAAUUUCCUCGGGUUAGUAAUAUUGCGUCGUGUUAGUUUACAAAUUCAAGAACAUUAAUUUCCCUCAUUUUAAAUUUCCUCGGGAAAGAAAAAUCUAUUUAUCACGCUUUGUAAUUGAAAACUAAAACUGAAAGAAUUCGGGAAAAAAAACUCUAUUUAUAAUUUAAAAAUAAAAUCCACGUCGGUUGUAGUACACUUAACGACGUUUAACAAAAUAAUCUACGUCGGUAAUUAUAAAUCUACCGCCAUCUUACCUUAAUAUAGACGACGAGAAAAGACGACGGUAGAACAGAAAACCGCCGUUGUUUCAGUUUCUUUAACAGUUUGGUCCUUUAUCUUUCUGCAGGACUUGUAUAGUUCAAAGCAUUGACAAUGUCUUCAUCAUAUCUCCCAGCAACUACUGAUUCGAUUGCUCAUGCUUUAGAGGCCAUCUGAAGCCAUUUCUAUUCUUUAUCGCAUUCUUGAAACCCAUCUUCUUCUUCUGAAGCUCUACGGAUAAAGGAAGAGGCUAUCACAAAUCUGACGGAUCUUCUUAGCCAAGAAAAUCAAGCAGAUUUCCCUGAGAAGCGAACUUUCCUUCGACAGCGAGUGGAGGCCAGGCUUGCAUCUCUUUUGAUGGAAAGCAAGGAGUAUUCAGAAGCACUAAGUGUCCUAUCAGGCUUGAUCAAGGAAGUGAGAAGGCUAGUUGACAAGCUUCUUCUUGUGGACAUAUAUUUGAUGCGAGUAAGCUCAAUUUCUCUUUGAGAAAGACAUCCAAAUUAUUGUCUUUGAGACGUGAGAGACUGAGAGAGGAAGAACUUGGAACCGUAAAUGUAAACCGAAAAUGAAUGAAAGCGACAAAUUUAUAGAAUAAAUUUUUAAAACCAACGGCGGUCCUUACAAAAAAACCGCCGUUUAAAUUGUAAAAUCAACGUCGGUAUGAUCGACGUAUAUUACAGAAAUCCACGUCGGUACAUUAAUAAAAACGACGUGUUAAAUAAUCUACCAUGACGCGAGUUAUUACUUAUGUACUUUAAUUUUUGAGUUUACUACGAUGGUACCUACAACACUACUGUCGUAUUUAUUUACCACGUCCGAAGUUAAAUGUACCGUCGUAUUUUGUAAUUUAUACGUCGUAGUUAUAUAUAACCGCCAUAUUAUUUUUUUGAAAUGGUUUUAUAUGUAAGCAACUUUUCGUCUACCUGACAUACACAUGCGCUGUUUCCAAACCCGAUUAAAAAUUUCAAUCUCCCAGAGAAAACUUUUAGACUUUUUUCCUUGUCAGAGCACUGUCAGAGUAUCUCAUCGUCUUCCUCUCGUCUUCUUCGUCGUCUCUGAACUUAAACAUAAUCUUCCUCUUGCUUUCAUUAUACGCAAAAGGUAAGCUUUCAUUUUCACUAUUUUGGUUGCUGUUUUGCAUGCUCAUACGUUUUUUGUUUGAAAAAUCUUUUUACCUUUUUUCUGGCCAAAAUCAUUUUACUUCUUUCCAAGUUCGAUAAAAUAUACAGACAAAGAGGGAAAGUUUCCAACUUUGAAGACAACUACCUCAACUAAAUAAGACGACGGUAGCUUCUUAUUUACGUGGUUAAAUAUGUAGACCACGACGGUUCGUCAGUCGUUCUAGCGUCGUCUGAAAAUUGACAAAGUUGUUUUUAAAAUUAUAGUCUUUUUUUUAUUUGCUUGUUUAAUUGCAGGUUUGAUUUCUCUGAACAAUGGUUUUUGUUUUUCCCUAAUUUGAUAAAAUAUAAAGAAAAAGAAAGUAGGGUUGGUAUCUAAUAUAGACGACAGUAUCUUAUUGUUUUACGUCGUGUGAAUGUUAAUACCACGACGUCAUAUUAAAAUACCGUCGUCUAUAUAAGAUUCCAAAACUUUCUUUCUUGGCCUUGUAUUUUAUCAAAUUAGAAAACAAAAACCAUGGUUCAGAAAAAUCAAAUCUGCAAUCAAACAUUCACAGAGAAAGAAAGAAGGGUUUUGGAUCCUUAUAUAGACGACGGUAUAUUACUACUGACGUCGUGUAAACAUCAAUACCACGACGUUAUAUAAAUAUUUCGUCGUUUAUAGUUAAUUAUCACGUCGUUUAUAGUUAAUUAUUUCGUUGUUGUUUAAUUACCUUGGUUUUAAACAUUUAUUACGUCUGAGAUUAUUUCAUUGCGUCGUUUAAAAUCAUAUCAUACGUCGUAUUUUAUUAAUAACCGUCGUUUGUGUUCUUAAUCUUUUCCUGAAAUAUUUUCACUUGCAGUUUUGUCUGUAAAAAUGGUUUCUCACCAAGACCAAAGUAAGGAUUCUGGCUCCAAGAAAAAUGGAGGUAAGGAGCUUGGAAUGGUACCUCCUCAAGUGAAGCCUUCGAAGAAGAUGAAGUUUGCUCCAUCAUCUGCUGAGACAGAACCAACCAGCACGACAACAAUCUCUGAUGAUUCAAAGUCUGGUCGAGGUAUGAGCACAAUGCCUCGUGUUGUGAAGAGAAAACUUCAGAAACUGAGGCCAAUUGUUGAGUACAAUAAAAGGGGGAAAGGAAUUGGCCAAGCACAUAGUGAGAUGCAGUCCUACAUUGGUGUGUUGGCACGCUCCAGAGUUCCACUUGUGGACAUGAAAUGGGCUCAAAUCCCCAAGGAUAUAAAGGAGCAGAUUUGGGAAGCAGUUGACAUUGCUUUUGUGGUAGGUCAAGGGGGCAAGAGCUCUGUGUUAGCUUCUGCUGUCAAGAAAUAGAAGGAUUUCAAGUCUACACUAACGAGGCAUUAUAUCCUUCCAUACACCAAUGACAGGGAGAGAUUAAGCCAACCCCCUGAAACAUAUAAAUUCAUAGAGAAAGCACAAUGGGAUGCCUUUGUAGCUUCAAGGUUAUCCAAAGAUUUUGAGUCUGUGCAUUCUCAACAUGCACAGAUUAGGGAGAAACUUGAGUACAAUCAUCGAUUGUCUCGAAAAGGAUAUGCUGGUUUGGAGGAUCAAUUGGAGGAAACCAUGCCUGGGGUAGAAAUUGGUCGAUCUACCUUAUGGAAGAGAGCUAGACAGGACAAACAUGGUAACAUCCCGGAUCCAAAGGUGGCAGAGAAAGCAAAAUUAAUUGUAAGCCUACUCACUCUGUUUUAAAUUUUUAUUCAACUGUGAAUAAUUCUUAUUACGUCUUAUGUUAUAUUUUGCGUCGUGUGAAUGAUAUUACCACGUCGAAAUUUUUUAAACAACGUCGUUAAAGGUCUAAAUAGGAAUCACUACUCUGUUUUCUGUAAUUAUAGCAUAAGAUGUCGGUGGUUCAUUUUCGCGUCGUUUGUAUUGAAUUACUACGUCGAAAUGUUUUAAACAAGGUCGUUAAAGGUGUGAAUAUUGAAUCAUCCCUCUGUUAUCUGUAAAUAAAGCAUAAGACGUCGGAGGUUUAUUCAUUUCGUCGUUUUAAAAACUAACCACGUCGGUAUAACUACCGUCGUGAUAAAUUAUAAUAACGUCGAUUUAUAUGUUAUUGCGUCGUGUGAAAUUAUAUAAUACGUCGUUUGUAUAUAAAUAACCGUCGUGUGUUUUUGUUCUUACUUUUUUAUAUAUCUUUGUUUUAGGAUGAAUUGCAAAAACAAGUCUCGGAAGGCAAAGUCACUGUUUCUGGCAGCAAUGAUGUGCUGACCAUGGCUUUGGGCCCCGAGCAUCCAGGCAGAGUGAGAGGAGUAGGUGCUGGGAUCUCACCAAGGCAAUAUUUCAAUUUACCCAAACCACAGAGAGUGAGCUUUGACGACCGUUUGAAUGACAGUUUAAGAGUUCUCCUUCAAGAAGAGACUAAAAAGAUGGAAGCUAAGGCAAGGGAAGAGGCUUUAAGGAUGGAGGCUAGAACGAAACAAUUGGUAGAGGCUGAGAGGGAGCAUUUCCUGAGUCAGCUUUCCCAAUUAAUUCCCAAUUUUGAUCCAAGCAUGCUUAAACCCAGAAUUAGCCAAAGUCCCAAAAAUCCAAUGUCUGACAAAACAAGCUGCUCUGGAGGUGAUGUGAGAUCCCAGCAUUUUGAGGAUGAUACUGCCAAAAAUGGGAAACAUCAGGAAGAAAAGGUAACAUAUCUGAACUUUGAAUUCUCUGUUUUUUUAAAAACCAUUAGACGUCGUUAUUAUUAAUAAAACCGUCGUUUGAAAUACAUACCACGACGAUUUUAAAAAUAAGUCGUCGUUUGUAUUUCAAUACCACGUCGUAUUUAGUUUACUUGUUUUACACGCCAUUAAACGUCGUUAUUUUUAAAACUUUGUGGUUUUUAGACGACGGAGUUAGUCAUUCCCGCCGUAAUAGAUGAAGAGAAGAGAGAAGAAAAACAAGAUGAAAAGGAGAAAGAAGAUGACGACCAGGUAUGUUCACAUAACUUUGCCUUUUUUAUUUGUUUUUCAAAAUUCCAGACGUCGAUAUUUUUCUUUAAACCGUCGUUUGUUUACAACUUAGACGGCGGAAUUUUUUUCUAAGACGUAAUAAAUUAUUCACCACGACGGUUUCUUCACCGUCGUUUAAAUUCUUUUCAGACGACGUUGUAUUCCUUAAACCGUCGUUUUUAUUGAAUUACCACGUCAUUUUUUUUAUUUCUUUAAACAGGUUAUUCAAGGUGUUGAUUAUUCAAAUAUGGAGGCGCCAUCUUCUUUAAAAUCCCUUUGUCGUUAUGUGGAAACGACACUCGUGCCUCAGGAUAAGACCCUGCACUUUACAAUUGAUAAGGAGGUGUUUGGUCUAGAGCGCGAUACCUUCCUCCUGCCUGAAGAUAUUACACAAUUUGCAGGCAUGGAAGAAAUAGGAGCCACUGUCAUUGCUGUAUAUAUGAGGUUUGUCAUUCUAAAAUAAUACGUCGUUGGUUUAUUUAUUGCGUCGUCUUAACCAACUAACCGCGUCGUUAGUAUGUACCGUCGUGAUAAAUAUAUUAUAACGUCGUUGUCUAUUUCAGUACGUCGUGUGAAAUUUUAUAAUACGUCGUUUUGUUAUACAUAACCGUCGUGUGUUUUAUGUAUAUAUGAGGUUUGUCAUUCUAAAAUAAUACGUCGUUGGUUUAUUUAUUGCGUCGUCUUAACUAACUAACCACGUCGGUAGUAUGUACCGUCGUGAUAAAUAUAUUAUAACGUCGUUGUCUAUUCCAGUACGUCGUGUGAAAUUUUAUAAUACGUCGUUUUGUUAUACAUAACCGUCGUGUGUUUUUUUGUGCUGACUUGUUUAUAUUAUUUUAUAUAUCUAGGUACUUACACGAUGUUUUGAAACGAGCAAAUAUGUGCUCCAUGGUUGGCUUUAUCGACCCUGCUACAGUUAGUGCCAGCUCUGGCACAAUAGCUGACAGAUCACGCCUACUAGCAGCUCGACUUCAGAGGACUGACGGUGAACAGAUUUUCCUGAUGCCUUACAAUCCAGGGUUAGUCUCCUUAACAGGAUUUUGAUUUUAUGAUUUUCAAUAAAUGACAGCGUAUAAACUAACCACGUCGGUGUUUUAUUUUAUUGAGUCGUUGCAAAACUACUAACCACGUCGGUAGUUAUUUAUCGUCGUGAUAAAUUUAUAAUGUCGUCGAUUGCUUCUUUAUUUCGUCGUGUGAAAUAUUAUAAUACGUCGUUUUUGUAAAUAACCGUCGUUUUAUAUUAAUUUUGUGCAGCCGUCAUUGGAUCUUGCUGAUUGUAAGAGCAAAGAGAGAAACCGUCUAUUUUCUGGAUUCUCUGCCAGGAAAUCGUGUGGUCGAUGAAGAGGCCAAAAACAUUGUGAACAGUGCUAUAAAAAUUUAUAACUCUCACAUAGCUAGACCAGGCCGUAAGGCAGUCAUUUGGAAAACUCUGUCAGGCACACCAAAGCAACCCAGCAGUGUCGAAUGCGGGUAUUAUGUGAUGCACUUCAUGAGGGACAUCAUCAUGGAUCCUUCCUUGGGGUUUGAGAAGAAGGUAAGAAGAAAUUACCUUCAUACAUUUUACGUCGUUUUAUGUAUUAUCAACGACGGUCAUGUAAAAUUACCGUCGUUGAAUAGAUAGUACGUCGGUUAUGAAAAAUAUCGUCGUCUGUGAUUUAAUUUCUUUUUAUUUAUAAACCCUAAUAGUCAUUGUUUAUGUAGUAUGCCAAGGGAAAACAGGAAGCGCCAUACCCCCAAGAAGCAAUUGAUGAAGUCUGGAAUGAAUGUGCAGAGUUUGUUUGCCUUCACCUGGAAUAGGGGAAUUAUUGAACGCUUGAUAUUUAUGUAUAAUGUACAAAUUUUGUCUAUAAUAUAUAAUGUAAAAAUUUGUUGAGGUUUUCUUAAAUUAAAAAAAAAAACAAACAUACAAAUUGCGUAAACGACGUGUAAUACUUUUCCAACGACGUAAUAAAGUCAAAAGCCGUCGUUUUUUGUUGUUUCGUUUUAAACAAAUCCGACGUAAAAGGAUAUUUAGACGACGUUCUUUGAACAAUUGAGUCGUUUAUGGUUUACAACGUCUUCAAUUUCUUAAGGGUUCAGGGUAGUACUUUGUAACGACAGCGGUUAAGUCGUGGAAUAUAUAUUUUAUGUCGGAUAGUUAAAUAUCCGCCAUGGUUUCUCAUUUAAACGACGUCAUUUUAACAACUUAGUCGUCUAUUACAAUUUACAACGUCUACAAUUUAUUAACACCGACGUGGUUUGUUGUUGUGAUAAGAAUAUUUUAUUAUUUUUAUAUCAAAAUAUUCAAAAUAAAUUUAAAAUAAAUCAGAAAAAUGCAAAGUCAACUCCUAUGAAGUCAUUGAUAUAUUUUCUUCCCCUAAACCUUGAAAAAAUUCAUUUUGAAUAACAAAAAUUUAAAAUGGCCAUCCAAAACAAAAUUAUUUUGAUGAGUCAUAAAAUCACUUCUAGUUUUAUGGUUUAGGGUUUAGAGUCUAGGGUUUAGAGAUUAGGGUUGUUAUUUAUUGGGGUUUAUUUUUAAAGUAUAAUUUUUGGGUAGUCUAGGGUAUAUAUUAGGCUGUAAAACCAUAAACCCUUUUAUAAACUUAAUUUUUAAAAUUAUAUAAUUUAGUUUUAAGGGUUUAGGGUAUUAAUUGUUAACGACGGUGGUUGAGUCGUGGAAUACAUAUGUUACGUCGUGCAGUAAAAUAUCCGACAUGGUUUCCACUUUAAACGACGUCAUUUUAAUAUGUAAGUCGUCUAUUAUAAUUUACAACGUUUUCAGUUUCUUAACUUCGACGUGGUUUUUCAGUCGUCUUUAUAUCAAAAUAUUCAAAAUAAAUUUAAAAUUAAUUCGAAAAAUGAAGCGUCAAAAGAAACGGCGUUACGUUCAGUGUUUCCGUCGUGGAAUAUUACAUUUACGUCGGUUCUUGUAGAACUUUCGCCAUGGUUUUUCUUUCGACGUUUUAAAGAACGCGCGCUCUAAAAAUUUUCGCGCGCCCUAAAUUUUUUUAUAUUUGGCUCUUAUUCUUAUACUUCUAACCCUGAACCCUAAAAUUUUCAGAUUUCGCGCAACAUAACAUUCGCUCUCUCACUUCUGCUCUAAUUAAAAGUUGCACUCUCCAGGCUCCGUCGAAUCUGUAAGCUCGUCCAACCUGUAAGUACAAACCCUAUCUUCCCCUUGUAAAUUCAUUGAAUGAUAUUAGGUUGUUUUGUUAAAUGGUUUUAGGUAUAUGCUUUGCGAUCUGUUAAUAAUGUGCUUAUAGGUAUGGGUUCAUGGAUUUUCUGUUUAAUGGGUUCAUGGAUUUUCUGUUUAAUGGGUUCAUGGAUUACAUUAUCUGUUAUGUUGAAUUGGGAAUGGAUUUAAUUUUGUCGGAUCUUUUAAUCACCCUAUGUUAUGUUGAAUUGGGAAUGGAUUUAUUGUUUUCAUGCUUGGUUUCAUGUAUAUGUUGGUUUCUUGCUUGGUUUCAUAUAUAUGUUGUGUUCUUAAUGGGUUUUGGGUUCUUGAAAAUAAACUGAGACACGACGCCUUUUUAGGCAUACGACGACGAUUACACGACGGUUUAUGAAAAAACUGUCGUUGUAUUACUUAUACACGACGGUUUUUUCAUAAACCGUCGUUUGUAUUACUUAUAUUAGACGACGUCUGUUGAAAAUCCGUCAUCUAUAUAUGCCAAAUACGUCUGUUUUUGUUUAAAACUCGUCGUCUCUGUUGUGUAUUACUUGCUAUUAGAUCUUUGUAUAAUCUGCUAUAGUGAUGGUCAUUGCCUGUAUUUUCACUUUAUUAUAGAUAAUAGGUUAUAGUGUCGGAGAUGGAUAAGUCAUGGAUGCACUCGAAUAGAAGAUCGAAGGCAUAUGAGUUUGGGGUGGAAGCAUUUUUGAACUUUGCUGUAGAAAAUCUUCUAACUACAACACAUAUCCGUUGUCCAUGUGUUAAAUGUGUUAAUUUGAAGUUGUUUGGGGUUGGAAUUAUAAGGGAUCACUUAUACUUUAAUGGAAUUGACCAAAGCUAUAAGAAUUGGACAUUUCACGGAGAACCUUGGGAAGCAACUACUAAUGCUAGUAGAAAUGUUGAAGAAGAUGAUGGCCAUAGUAGGUACAGUUUUGUGUCUGAAGAAAUUGAUAUGGAUGAUAAUGAUUUUGGUGAUUUUGGUUCUGAUCCGUAUGAGUUUGCCAAUGUGAUUGGGGAUGGAGAUCAACCAGUGUACCCUGGUUGUAGAAAGUACACGAAGUUAUCGGCAUUAGUGAAGUUGUAUAAUUUGAAGGCAAAACAUGGGAUGAGUGAUGUCUGUUUUACAGAAUUAUUGAUACUUCAAGGCGAUUUGCUUCCAGAAGGAAAUACAAUACCAACCUCUAUGUAUGAGGCUAAAAAGACUUUGUGUGCAUUGGGGCUGAGUUAUGAGAAAAUGCACGCAUGCCCCAAUGAUUGCAUCUUGUAUAGGAAGGAGUAUGAGGAUUCAACUAAUUGUCUUACUUGUGGUAUCUCAAGGUGGAAGGAAGGCAAAGAUUCAAUCUUGAAAGAGGGUGUGCCAGCGAAGGUGGUGUGGUAUUUUCCUCCAAUUCCAAGGUUUAAAAGGAUAUUUCAAUCACAUGAGACAGCUAAGAGUUUGACUUGGCAUGCUGCUAGAAAAUCAAUUGACGGUCAGAUGUCUCAUCCGGCGGAUUCCCCGUCUUAGAAACUUCUUGAUGAUAAAUGGCCUGAGUUUGGUAAUGAGCCGAGAAACUUGAGAUUGGCUCUUUCAUCUGAUGGAUUCAAUCCCCACAGUUCUCUAAGUAGCAGAUAUAGUUGUUGGCCGGUUAUCUUAGUUACAUAUAAUCUCCCUCCAUGGCUGUGCAUGAAACGAAAGUUCAUGAUGUUAACCUUAUUGAUUUCCGGUCCUAAACAACCCAGAAAUGAUAUAGACGUCUACUUGGAGCCUUUGAUUGAUGAUUUAAAAUCUUUGUGGGAUGGGAUUAGAGGAGUGUAUGAUGCACAUAAUGGAGAAUACUUUACACUCAGAGCUGCAUUAAUGUGGACAAUUAAUGAUUUCCCCGCCUAUGGAAACUUAUCUGGUUGUGUUGUUAAAGGAUAUAAAGCUUGUCCAAUAUGCGGCGAUGAUACACCUAGUCACAGGUUGAAAAAUGGCCACAAAAUUUGUUACAUUGGGCAUAGAAAAUGGUUACCAAUCAAUCAUCCAUAUAGGAGGCAACGUGCAGCUUUUAAUGGGAAACCUGAAUAUGGCAUACCUCCCGAGCCAUUAACCGGAGAAGAAGUGCUGCAUAUGGUUGAAAAUGGUGACAGAGUUUGUUGGAAGAAGAACUCAAUAUUCUUUGAUCUCGAGUAUUGGAAAUACCUUCCUAUGAGGCAUGCCCUAGAUGUUAUGCACAUUGAGAAGAAUGUUUGGGAUAGUAUUAUUGGUACAUUGCUGGAGAUCCCUGGAAAAAAUAAAGAUGGGAUUGCUGCUCGAUUAGAUUUAUUGAACAUGGGGGUCAAAACUGAUUUGCAACCCGAGUAUGGAGAAAGACGUACUCGUUUGCCUCCUGGGCCUUGGAAUUUGUCAAGAGCAGAGAAGAGAGAGGUUUGCAAUUCUUUCUAUGGUAUGAAGGUCCCUGAAGGUUAUUCUUCAAAUAUUAAAAAUCUUGUAUCUUUACAAGAUUCAAGACUUCUUGGCCUUAAAUCACAUGAUUGUCAUACCUUAAUGCAACAAUUGCUCCCUGUGGCAAUUCGUUCUGUUUUGGAGAAGCCUGCCAGGUAUGCAAUAACUCGUUUGUGCUUCUUCUUCAAUGCUAUAUGUGCAAAGACUGUUGAUGUUUCCAAGCUAGAUAAGUUGGAAGAAGAUGUAGUAGUUACUCUGUGUUUGCUUGAGAAGUACUUUCCCCCUUCAUUCUUUGAUAUCGUGGUUCAUCUAGUAGUACAUCUUGUCAGAGAAGUUCGUCUAUAUGAGCCAGUAUAUUUUAGGUGGAUGUAUCCGUUUGAAAGAUAUAUGAAAGUUCUGAAGGGGUAUGUUCAGAAUCGUACUCGUCCCGAAGGUUGCAUUGCUGAGCGGUAUAUAGCUGAAGAAGCGGUAGAGUUUUGUACUCAGCAUUUAUCUGAUGUUAGUACAGUUGGAGUGCCUUCAAGCCAAAAGAUGGGACUUUCAAAGCCAUUAUCAGGUUGCACAGUGAGCGUAGUUGAUCAGGACCUGUUGAAUCAAGCACAUCUAUAUGUCUUGGAGAAUACGGAGGAAGUCCUACCUUAUAUCGAGUACGUAUGAGUUUUAUUCUUUAAGUUUCCAUUUUAAAUUAUUUCUUAUGUUUAUCUUCUAUAUUUGGGACCGUAAUGCUUGAAUUUUUCGUGUCAUGUAGGCAACAUAUGAUCCACAUCAAGACUGCUUAUCCAAAAUUUAGAAAGAGAACAAAGUGGCUGCAGGAUAAGCACAAUAGCACUUUCAUUCAAUGGCUACGCUUCAAGGUAUAUGUUGUUGAAUAACAUAUUUCUCUUUUAAUUUUCUUCUUAUUUCUAUGUUAGAUUAAGAUAUAUGAUUAAUUUGCAGGUUCAAAGUGAACUUGAGGAAGACAAUCAUGGCGUAUCAGAAAAUUUAAGGUGGCUAGCAGCUGGUCCAAACAUGGCAGUGCCAUUAUAUAGGAGCUAUCUUAUUAAAGGUAUUAAAUUCAAUAUCAAGGCACAAGAUGAUGUGCGGACAACUCAAAAUAGUGGAGUUUAUUUACUUGCACAUACCAUGCAAGUUGCUAGUGCCAAGGAUAAAAACCCAAUUCUCUCAAAUAUGGGUUUCUAUGGUGUCAUUCAAGAAAUUUGGGACCUUGACUACCAAAAGUUUACAAUCCCAGUCUUUAGGUGUGAUUGGAUAGAUAGUUCUGGUCUUGUAGUAGACGAACUUGGAUUUACCCUUGUAGAUUUGAGUAAAAUUGGACAUAGGAAUGACCAAUUUGUUUUGGCUUCUCAAGUCAAACAAAUAUUUUUUGUUGACGACCCGAUGCAUCAUGGUUGGUCGGUAGUGUUAUCAAUGCCUAAUAGAGAAUAUAAUGAUGUUAUUGGUGAUGAAGUCUUAGGUGAUGUGAUAAUUGAGUGUGAGCCAUUUACUAGAGGGAUGCCAAAUGUUGACACAUUUGAUGAACUGGUGGGUGAGUUAGGCGGUCAAAAUAUUCGAGAUGGGUGUGAAGAUAUAUGGAUUGAAUGAUGCUUAUGUAAUUGGCAGUGUAUGACAUUAAUUUUGUAAUAUAUUGUAAUGUGAUUUCUUCACUUUCUACGUUCAAAUAAAACACGACGUUAUUGUGAACCAGUUAUUCAGCAUAUUUACCGACGUCUUAAAGCAACGUAACAAUGAAGAACCAUGACGCUAUUGUGAAGCAAUUAUUCAGGAUAUCACGUCGGGGAAGGAUUAAGAACCGCCAUGUAAUUCAAAAUAACACUACUCCAAUCCCAUAAUACCGACGUCUAAAAAACGAGAUAUAUAAUCUGAACGUUAAAAAAUACGACGUCAUCAUACAUUUUCCACGUCGCAAGUUCUUUUAUAAACGAAGAGGAACGAAAUGAAUUCCGACGGUAAUUCAUUAUAACCGCCGUCUAAUAUCAAUUAAACGACGUUAUUUGUAAUACGGCUCUCAUCAUAAUCAACGCCGUCUAUAUGUUCUGUAAUACGGCUCUCAUUUAUUUGGAACCGACGUUGUUUAGAAGUUCAACGUCGUCUAUAUUAAUAAGUGCGUCGUGAGUAAUGAAUACAUAUAAAUACAACGUCGACAAUAUAAAUGCCACCGACAUUGUUUCGCAUUCAACGUCAACUAUAUAAAUACAUACGUCGUAAAUAAUGACACUGACAACUAUUUCCACGUCAUCUUUUUUAGAAAAAUCGAAGUGGAAAAUUUAUUUCACGACGGUUGUUUGUAAAUAAGAGACGUAGUAUAUUUCAAUAACGUCGUCUUCUCAUGUAUUUAAAGACGUCAUAUUUUUUCUUGUCGUGAAAAUUAUAUUUAACGGCGUAAUGUUUUAGUUAUCGUCGUUGUAUGUCUAUCUUGCGGCCUUGUUCUUUUAAUAUGUGUCAUAUUUUUCCUUUUUAACGACGGUGAUUUGUUUGAGUUGGUCGUCUAUUCUCAUCGUCGACUAUUUUUUAGAACUUUAGCAGACUAAACACGUCUGUUUUUAUUUGUUUUCGACGUUGGUUUAUUUAACAACGUCUAAUAUUUAUCGUCGUUGUUUGUUUCUGAAAAUAGGACGUAUAAAUUUUGUAAUACGACUCUCAUAUAUUUGUAACCGACGUUGUUUCCUUGUUCAACGUCUACUCUAUAAAUACAUACGUCGUAAAUAAUGACACUGACAACUAUUUCCACGUCAUCUUUUAUAGAAAAAUCGAAGUGAAAAAUUUAUUUUACGACGGCUGUUUUUAUAUAGGCGACGUAGUAGGUAUCAAUAACGUCGUCUUCUAAUGUAUUUAAAGACGUCAUAUUUUUUAUUGUCGUGAAAAUGAUAUUUAACGGCGUCUUUUUUUAAUUUUCGUCGUUGUCUGUCUAUAUUGCGGCCUUGUUCUGUUAAUAUGUGUCAUAUUUUUCCUUUUUAACGACGGUUUUUUUAGAGACUUGGUCGUCUAUUCUCAUCCUCGACUGCUUUUUUAGAUCUUUUUGCAGUACAAAGACGUCGUUUUGUAUUUGUUGAUGACGUUGUAUAUUGUAACAACGACGGUGAUUUAGCGUCGUGGUUUAUGAGGGAAAAGAUGACGGUGGAUUCCACGACCAUUGAAAAACCGAAUACACGACGGUGAUUUACCGUCGUCUUUUUGCUUUUUUGUAGUAGUGUAGGAGAGAAAUGUGAUUCUCUUCUAACAGAAUUACAGCUGUCAUCCUAUUAGAUUCUUACACCUGUCAUAGCAAAUCUAAGCUAGAGAAUCCACCUGGACUAUGAUCUAAUGGCUCUCCUUACAUCAUUUAAAUAAGCUGACCAAAAACAGAACAAAUAGAGAAUAGCUUCAGCUCUAAGAAAUCUGCUGCAGGAUUAUAUUUCAACACUAGCUUGUACCAAAUCACUUGGGUUUGUUUUCGUGCUCAUGCAACCCUUCCGCAAGAGAUUUCUCAUGAAAAUGAUCACACUCUAUCCUUGUGUAGAAAUAGGAUACCCUACCUAGCUAGCUCCUCUGGUUAACAGACAACAAAAGGGACCACCAUGUUCUUGAAAAAUGAAUUCAUUGCUCCUCUGGUUAAUUAACAGUACUGCAUAUGGUAUGCCCUACAACAAAAACUUGUUAACUUGUGUGAUAAACUAGUAGUCUAUUUCUUUUUCAUCUUUUUAUAAAUGCUGCUUCAAAAGACAAGAAUUUGUGGUGCUAUGAGAAUAUACAUGGACCCUCGGAUGCUCUAUGAUUUGGUUGGUUGGGAGCACCAAACCACCCUUGCAUGUGGCUUUGUCCUUUCAUCUAUGAUCUUCAGGCCCAACAAGCAAGGGAAGUCUUUCAUUUGUUUGAAGAAUUGAUACUUAUUGAGAAUGCAGUAGGUAAUGAGUACAUAUCUAAAAAGCAUAUGAUAUCAAGAGAGUGCUAAUCUGUAGCAAUUGUAAAAUGUAGGAUACAUACUUUUUACUUAAAGUUAAACAUAUGAAAAGAUGUUUUACUAAUCGAAUUAUUUGAUAUAGCAAAUGUAAAUUGAAAAAGAUGAAAACCAACAUUAAGUUCUCUUUGUAGGCGCUAGUAGAGUAAAACAUGCCAAUUCGUUGUAAGUGCAAGCCACAUCGCUUAUGCUUAUACUCAACAUGAAAUGAAUUGUUGACAUUACAAUUCGUGAAAUCUAUCUGUUGACUCUAGCGACGUCAGUAAUUUCAUCUAAAUUGUAGAAAUUUGUUAUAAAAACAAAGAAGAUUAUUGAACAACCUGAUUACCUAAAACCAAAUUAGAUUUUAGAAAAAUAUAGUAGAUACAUAAAACUUUAUUACCUAACAAAGAAAGAUGUCAAAUCUUUCAAAAACAUUUUCUUACAACCAAGGGAAAAAAUCCAAGAUUGAAUUGAUGAAAAUGACUUCGUUUGGACCACUCAAACCUUCUUUGCUAAUUACUCAGUUAGCUAGUUUGUUAAAGUAGAGAAGUUACCUAGUAUAUCUCCAACAAAAAUAGUCAUAUUGUAAAGCCUGUUAUGUAACUAAGGGAAUUGUGGAGAGAAUAUAGAGAAAACAAGUAGCAAUAGAAAGGCUCUUCAUCUGCUUGUAUUAAAGUUUACUUUGUAUCCAUUACAAUUGAGAAGGUAGCCUUGUUUAUAGGCCAAGCCUUGGCUAACAACCAGAGAAAGAAGGCUCAUGGAAGGUGUAAGCAAAUAACGUUCCAACUUGUGGGCUCCACUUGCAGACUUUUACAACACUCUCUCUUGGAUACCACAAUGUAUGGAAUCUGUCUCGUUAAAAACCUUGCCAAUAAAAUUUAGUGGGACAAAAAAUGGUCCAAAGGGAAAAAGAGCGCAUAAUCAUGUGUAACAUAAAAUUAUGUAUAUAUAACACUGACACGCGUGCGACACUGCCUCGUUAAAACCUUGCCAGGUAAAACUCAGUGGGACAAAAAAGAAAAAACUAGAUGAAGGAAAAAGAGUACAAUGUGUGAAAAUCUUAUUGAUGGCACGCUCCCCCUGAUGCUGACAAAAUAUCUUUAAGUCAUGAUGUUGACAAUCUUUCUGAAUGUCGUAGUUGAACACUGCUUCCAUGAAUCAAUCUUGUAAUACUGGUGGAUGCUACCCCUAAAGAAUUACUCCCCUUGAUGUCUUCUUUGAUGAUCCAACACAAAUGAUAUUGAUAUCACAUUUGUACUUCACAAACUGAUCUUUGGUAAUGCUUGUAGAAAACUUGUUGUUGUAACAUCUCUGGAGGAUCCCUGUGUGUCGUCAUUCAUCUAAUUCUUAUUGAGGUUAGAGUAAUACAGAAAAAUAUCUAGGCUAUUUUCAUAAGACUUUCACUGUACACAAUGGUUUGAAUUUCAUAUGUUUUCCAAUAUAAAAAACAAUAAGCUCAUAUUUAUAAUGAUAAGAGCAUUAAAUAUUUAUAUGGUGUUGUUUACCCUUUUUGUAUUUGAGUAUGUUGAAGCCUAAAUAAAAUUCCCCAUUAAUUUUUUAAACACUUAAUGGUUUCUUGAGUAACUUUCUUGCCACUAUUAGCAGAUAAUACCCUAACAGAUUUGAACAACUUUAUAUACUUGCACCCCAAGUAAUAGACUUUAAACAAACAAUUGUGAUUUUGGAUGGGGAAACCUCCCAAGAGAGUUCUUUUCUAUGCCUCAGACUUGUGACGACUUCACAAUUUAUUAAGACAAAAAUGGUAAGCAAAGCAAAAUACACAAAUUUAUGAAGGGUAUAACAGACUAAUCCAAGCAAAACUACUUGAAGCACAAAGUAACAAAUGAAUCUUUAAAUCUACGUACUUCUCAAAGGGGUUGGACUUUGACUUAUGUUUGAAAACAUAGUCGCAAUGAUGACUUGUGAUUAGACUGGACUGAACUUUUGUUGACUAGAUUGAAUGUUUCUGCACUGGAAUUUCAUGUCAGCACCUUCAACUAAUAGAGAUUAGCUAGAAAUCGAUACCAAGUUUGAAGUUUGGCAGAGCUAUAAACAAGUUAAACCUUGAAUAGGCUAUGGAAGUGAUCAAAACUGCAAACGAGUACCUAUUCUUGUUGAUUCUGAGUGAUUUUAAAGCUAUCUAGACAAUUUUAAGACAUUAAGAUGUAUUUGAAAAGCUUGUUGAGGAUUUUGUAUGAUGAAAUACCUGACUUCUUCUUGUUUUAUCUAAUUUGAUGAACCAAAUUUGUCAGAGGAAUUAAUCUCGUUUGAAUUCUGUUUGAUUUACCUUAUCUGGAUUACAAGGGCAAUCUUGGUUUCUUCUUGGUUUUCUGAACUUCUUUUUGAGCUGGAUUGCUUGUUAAGGAAGAUUGCUUGCUUGCUUUUGGUAGUUGUAAGAUCAUAUGAUCUUUGAUUUCUUUUUAUCAAUCUGGAGUUAUUGUUGAGUUUUUCCUUAAUUUGUUGGUUAUUUGUCCCUUCUCCUGUCCAGACACUUUUGUAUUUAUAGGAGAAAAAUGAUGUUGAAGAAAUCUGGAAUUUUUAGUUUUGGACUAUCCUCCAUUUAAUGCACAAGUGGCAAAAGUUUUGUUAGUUAAUGCAUUGAUCGUUUUUGGCACCUGCUCAUUAAUGUUCUUGAAUGUCUCCUGAUCGUUCCUUUUGGAACAACUAAGCUGAAGUGAGCAAUAAUGCCCAAAUUCCUCCAACGUUGGUGUAACACCCGGAUCCAAUUUUAACUUCUCAUUCAAAUUAUUUAAUUUAUUUAAUUGUGAAAUUACAAUUUUACCCUUAGGGCAGGGUUAUUUUGGUCAGUUUUUAAUCCGAUAGGAUUUUGGGGAAUUGAAUGGCACCAUUACUUAGAGUGCAUCGAUACGAGUUCAUAGACAUUCAGUGGGAUCAAAUAAGAGUUUUAACAAAGAAGUUACGAUCAACGGAAGUGCAAUGGCACCACCGUAAAUAUUUCAAAAUUUGAAAUUGAAACACUAGAUUCUCUCUCUCAAUCUCUCCCUCAUGAAUCUCUCUCUCCUCUGUUGGGAGCACCACAACCCCGUCGUCUUCUAACGAUGAUUCCGGGGUCAUCCUUCCUCUCCUGCUACGAAACUGGUUACAAUUUUUUUUCAUCUCUCUCUCCUCUUUACAUCCAUACCAAUUUCCAACCUCAAUUCCAAGGGAUUAAGCCAAAAAUUCGAACGAAAACCCAACUCAAACUGGCCUGUCAAAAACCAUGACUUCCGGCGUUUGUUCUGGCCAACUUCACCGAUCACCAAGUGGGUUCCAAAACACUCCCGUGCCUCCCCUCUGUAAUUUUCCUCGAAGACCCGACUUGAUUUCAAUCCGAAACCAUCGAAUUGAAACCUAGAAGGUGUUUCAACGAGAAAACCAACUGUUCGAGGGCUUUAGCGGCUGAAUUGAUCUUCGAGCAAAGGUAUAAAGUUACUCCCCUUGAUGUGUUUGAUCUUUUGAUAUGAUUAUUGGCCAGCGGUUUGGAGUUUUUCGAUCGCCAGAAAUUUUUUCAAGACACCCGUAGGCAGUGGUGGCUCGUCAGUGGGGUAUCAAGGUUGGGUUUUGAAGCUAGAAUGUUCCCCAUGUCGUCCCAAGCACGAUAGUAUGCUGAAAUUUGAAUUUGGUUGUUGUUUGACGGUCGAUCAAAUUUACAUAUAUUAGGCGUCUUCCGUGUUCGAUAUGUUCAGACCGUUGGAUCGACUCCAUUUCCAACUAUGCUGGUCUAGAUACCUCUCAGAUCAUGUAGGAACUACGAAUUGAGAAUCGGAGUCCCGGAUACUCCAAUUUAAUGGCUCAAAGUUUGGGUAAAACGGUGACCGCCCGAUCGUAUGAUUGUGAGCGAUCCGACCGCUCGAUCUGGACCAAACUUGUAGGACGUGUUUAGUAAGCUUUGUUGAACCCGUAGGGAACUUUUGGAUAGGAAAUUGGAGGUCAUGGGCCCAACAGGCCCAGCUGACCAAAUUUGGGAAGUUUGACCACUUGGUUGACCGAGCGUCUUUCGAGGUUAUUUCACAUUUCGGAACAUGUAGUUGGACCUUAGAAACUUCCUGUUUGUUGUAUACACACCUUGAAUUCCGGGAAAAAUUAGGAAUUUAUUUUAAAGUUUCCAUCCGAAUUAUUUUAAUUAAUCUAGUCCUCGUAUUUUUCAAUAGGCACUUCGGCUCAGCGUACUCAAUAGGGUUAAGCAGCUCUAGAUUAUCUGUGAGUGGACUUUGUUUUUAAAUAAUAAUCAUUAUUUUCAAAGAGAAAAAGCUAUGCAUAAUGAGUUAUUCGAUUAUUGAGUUUAACAUAUUAUUUAUUUAAAUGUUUGAAUUUGCAUAUUGUGAUUAUCUUGAAUUAAUAUAUGCUAUGUUUGAGAGUUACUAUCUGACAGGACCCGAUCCAAAUUCCGCUUUGGAAUUCGAGCCGGACCCUGUGCGUGUCCGACACCUGGCAAAUGUCGGGCACAAAUGACCUAUUUGCCCUUCUAUACAAAACAUGAUAAAAUAACAAGGUUGACGUCUACCGAAAAACCGGCAGAGUUUUCCUUGUAACUGGCUCAAUACCAACAUAUUUACACCUGCCAAACAAGUAUAUAUAUAUACAUCCAACUGCCAGCAUACAUUUAUAUACAGUCCAACCGUUCAAUUCUCAAUCUAGGGCAAAACAUCAGAGCAACUUCUAAGAAUUUACAAAGAAGUGAAUCUUUUUACAAAACAAAAAUCCUACAUCAAAGAAAAGGCGCGGAAGAUAGAAAACGGCCCGGUGGUGGAUCACUGUGCACGUCUUCUGCCUGGGGGAGCAAAACAUGGAAAAGGGUGAGUGGACCUAAAAAAAAAGUUUAGAAAAUAUGAACAUACUAACUCCACUGUAAAAACAGUUGUACAAACUAAAUUAUUCUCUUUAUUUCUGCAAUCAAUGCACGUAUAUAAUUAUACAUGUAAAUAAUCAUAUUCAUGGUCAACAUUACUUUUAAAAACAGUUUAAAACUACCACCUAGGUGUACCCUUUAUUUCCGUCAAUUCCUUAUAUCCGUCAAUUCCUUGCAUCACCAUAGGUGACACAUACUCGCAGGUCUCAGUGACACGAGGUCAGUCCGAGCCGCAACUCGCAGGAUUCAGGGGACCGUGGUCCACCUUUAUCCGCAUACUCGCUCCACACGAGUUCGAUUACCAAGGAACUUGUGGGGCAACUGUCAAGCAUGCUGACUAAACCGAAGGCAACCAAUAUAAUCCGAAGGCAACAUUUAAUAUCUGGGUACAAGGUGGUUUAACAAAAUAUAAAGUUUCGGAAGCAAAGCUGUUAAAUAAUUAACUUUCUGUAACCUUUCAAAUUCUGCUGCCAUUUAUCUGACAAGUAACUAGAAUUUCUUUUCUUAUAUCCGUUAAAAGGUAUUUCACUCGGCAGCAUGUAAAAUAAAACAGCUUAUAACUGAAACUGAACGGCUUAAAUUCAUUUAUUAAAAUAUAGAGUCCACUCACCGGUAGUCCGAGCUCGCUGGACCUCUUGAAGGUCCCUUCUAUGGGUCAACUGGUGCCCGGGUGCCUGAUUCAAUGACCAUAAUAUACUAUUAAUACAAUAUAGUGUUAAUAUAAAAACUCUUACCCCCAGCUCCUAAAAGUACAUGCGUACAAUUAAAGUUAUCUCUAUACCCAUAAAAGCUUUCCUUCCAGUUUAGCAGUAUCUUGGGACUCAAAAAGCGUUAAAGUCCCAAAAAAUCAACCCGAGACCCCACGGGUCCAUGACCUCACAAUAUAAUCCGGAAGCCGCAAGAAGGUCCAAUAUAUCUAGGACACAUGUCCAGAGGGUAUUGGUCUCGAUCGGACGGUCAGAUUGAUCACGAUCGUGCAAUCGCAUAUUUUCCAAACCCUAGCUCUAGGGUUCGCGAUUUUGGAGUCCCUAGGACUCCGAUUCACAAUCCGUCGAAUCCUACACGAUUCUGAAAUUGUCUAGAGUAACAUAUCUGAAACUGGUUACGAUCCAACGGCUCAACCAUAUUGAACCCGGAAAUCGCACAAUAUGGAAAAUCCGUUCGAGGCUCAAACGGUAUCCAAAUUGAGAUCCGUGAAUUCCUACGCGCUCGUGACAACCUAAGGAUCGCAUCAAGACACAGUACCACUGCACUACCCUCGCCCACACGCCGCCGCACGCGCCGGCAGCGCUGGGUGUCCAAAGCGAUUAUGCAUCGCCGGAAAAUCUCGAAACCACGGCUCCAAACUCCUACCCUAGGUAUAACACCAUAUUUGGAACCACUUUUGUUCUUGGACCUACCCCAAAAACUGACCGAAAGUGGCCGAACAGGGAGGCCGAAAAUCAGCCAAAUUCCAAUUUGAAAACUGAGCUAUCUACGGUCAAAAUCGAUGCAAACCUACCCAACCAUCAGCUAGAGCAUGGAAAAUAGGUAGAAAUCCAUACCUUACUCGACAAAUUUGGAGAAGAAUUGAGGGAGAACGAGCGGUUGCAAAACUGUGAAAAACCAGCUCGAGUUUUACAGUUUCCGGCGGCUGGCAGCGGGCUGGGCGGGGCUUGAAGACGGAACCGAGCUGGUCCUUUUGGCACCGACGGCAAGGGCAGGGGUGGUCGGUGGCGAGAGUUCUGGCGAUUGGAAAGUGACGGGAAGGAGGACAGCGGGAGAGGGAGAGAGAGAGAGAGAGAGAGAGAGAGAGAGAGGAAAACUGAGGGAGAAGAGAGAGAGUGAGGGUUUUAAAAAUCUGAUUUUUCCUAAUUACCAUUUUGCCCCUCGUGAUAUUUUAACCGUAUUUUCUUCGUUAAAACUCCGAUUCGAGUCCACUUCAUGUCUGCGAACUCAUUUCGUCGUGCUCUACACAACGGUGUAUGUGGAAUUGUCAAAUUCCUUUUCGGUCAAAAAGUCAACUUUUCGUUAAGAAAUUAUUCCAAGGGCAAAAUUGUCUUUCCUCAUAAUAAAUUACUAAUUAAAUAUGAAUUUUAGGUUUGGGUUAUUACACUAUACUUGGAUGCGUGUUGGGUACAUGGGAUUGGUAGAAAGAGAUUAUGGAAUGGGAUUUGAGUUGUGGUUUAUAUUAAUUUUGAAGUGCUUUAGGCACUACCCUAUGUACCUUCCUGGUUUUGGAAUACAUGGAUUGGAUACUUGGAAACUUUUGGGAUACUUUGAUAUGUCGGAACCCGACCACCCUUGACAGGGUGUUUCGUAGACCCUUAGCAGGAUUAGUCUGCAAGCGUAGGACUUGUCACAGGCGUACAAGUAUUGAAGAUUCUGUUGUACAUGUUGGUGAGCCAGUCCCCCGGUUGGACAACUCAUUCCCUAGCCACAUGGUCAAUUGAGGAUUCUUCUAUAUGGUCUAGCCAAACAAUCCCCCGGUUAGAUUAUUUCCUCAGUACAAGUUUGGUAGUGGUCAUACUUAUGUAUAUAUAAAAAAUUUAUAUAUAUACACACAUAUACUUUCGUUCUUGUUUAUCAAUGAGGAUUCUUUCUUGCUUGUGGUGCCAACGGGCACGCGUUUUGGGUGAGAGUAGUUUGGGGAAAAUGGGUAAGGUUUUGAGUGGGAUGGGUAUUACUAUACCAUUAUGAGAUAUGGAUUUCACUUUGGUUUUGAUUUAGCUAUAUAUAUAUAUAUCGGUUUUGAAUGCAUAUCCCUUUUAGAAUCGUUUUCCAAAUGGUGGGGUUAGUAUGUUGUUUUUAACUAUGUAAAAACUUUAUUUUUGUCCACUCACAAAUUUUCUGUUUUGCUCCCACAAGGCAGUAGUUGAGCUGAGUCGAGCGACUAAGCCGAGUCUUGUACUUCCGAGCCCCAAGUUUCUGUAGGACAAUGUUUACUUGUUUUUAAUUCUAUUGAACUCGUUUCAUUGUAAACUGAAUUUCUUUUGAUAUGCUUGGUUAUCGCCCAUGCUAGGGUUGGAUGUAAGGUCAGAGGCCUAUUAUGUAAAUUGCAUGAUUUUUCAUUGUGCAUGCUGUUGUUGGGAUUUUAUUACUUUGUUUUUUACAAGUUAAAAAUUUGGGAAAGUUUGUUUUUCAAGAGAGACUCUACCGAAAUUUUAACAAAAUGUCUAAUUCCUCUUUUCGUUAAUUUGGAAAAGAAGCUAUAAUGUUAGUAAGUGGACCCGGCAUCAGUUUCAUGUCCGAAAUACCACAGGAUUCGCCACGGAUUUCAAGGAAAUUCAGGGCGGGUCUUGUCAAUUGGUUCCAUAAAUACAAAUAUCCUGGUAGUAGAAAAUAAAUCCGGCGAUCUUACAAUAAAUAGUCGUGAUUUUUGUUUGUGCAAAUAAUCUCACGGGAGAAUAUUCUCUUCUAGAUUCUUCAACCUUCGAUCUUCCUUCUCCCUCUUCCUCGAUUCCUGUAAAAAAGACUAGAGUAAAUAGACCACACCCGGGGGGUGUUGGCCAAAGGCCCUCCGAUGCCUAAGUUCGUUCGAGUGUUUGUAGGAAAACAAUAGCUAAGCAAAGGGUACGGAGUUGUAUGUAGGGUGUAAACCGGGUGGCCGGAGCCAUGUGUGGUGGCCGGAGCUGUGUAGAGAAAAUAUGGAGAGUGGAGAGGGAGAGAGAGCUUCGGGUAUUUUUCUCGGGUAUAAGGAGUAGGUUUAGAUGUACCUUGAAUGAUGAAUGAGGUCGUCUAUUUAUAGGAGCCUUGGGGCUAAGGUUUCGUAGGGAUCGAGUCGGACCUGAUAAUAUCCGAAUUAAAUAUAUUAUCGCUUAAGAAGAUAAUAUCUAAAUUAAAUGAUAUUAUCUUCUCUUUAUUAGGAUAAUAUCUUAAUUAAUGAUAUUAUCUCUUUAAAUAAAGAUAAUAUCAUAUUAAUUAAGAUAUUUAUCCCAAUUAAUUAAUUAGCUAGAUAAACUGGUUUAAUUAAUUAAUUUAAGAGAUAAUCUUCUUUUCCACGUGGCGUGCCUUGAUUGGAGAUGAAAAUAUAUGCUCCCACAAUUUCCAACUAAAGUAAGUCUGACUUCACUUUCCAGCUUUCAUGGUCAUUAAAGUUAUUUGGAGCCGAGUUACCAACAGUGAGGAGUCAUUCUGACAUACCUUAACAUCUAAGAAAUUAUAAACUUUGGGCUAAACUAAUUCAAAUAAUUUUGACCCUUGGAUUAAAUCACCGUUGAUUAUCAAAAUAAUGUGAAUUUAUUUUAAUUUGAUCCCCCUUUGUUUGAAUAGUAUGGGCCAUUCACCACUUUUGGUAAAUAAAGCCCAAUACCUUUUUGAAAAGUGAACCCAAUGCUUAUUUCGGGAUGGUGCACAUAUUUCAGGCCCAAACAGUACCCCUAAGUCUGAAUAUCGUCUCUAAAAAACGAUUUCAUACUUAAUGAUUGGCCUGCCUUCUAUUGAUGUGCGCCCUUUUGAUCUAUUUGCUCCUGCCCACGUCUGUUCAUUGAUUGGACAUUUUGGAAAAGUGGGUAUUAACGAUUAGUUAAUUGGGAGACUUUGGAAAAGCCCAAAGGAGAGAGAAAAUUUUUAAAAGAAGCAAAAAUGGACAAAAUUGCCCUUAUUUAUUUUUUGAUUUCCUAAGAAAUCCUUUACAUUUGCAUGUCUGUGGUUUGAAAGUUGAGAGGUUAUUCCGUCUUUUUUGAAAAAGCUUUGGCUUUUUCCAAAAGUGAAAGUUUUUUUAUGGGUAAAACCUAAAUUUACUUAGUUAAUUCUUGGCAACUCUUCUUCUCCCACUAUCUGUCUUCUUUAGAGUAUAAAGCUGCAACCUACUUUACUCUUUUAAAACCAUCAUUAACCCCGAGUUCUUCAAUUUGUAGAGUAUUUCCAAUCUUUGAAAUUUCAAAUUUCAAUGAAAAAUUCAAGCAUUUCCCUAAUUCUGCCUGAAUAUUCUCGAUGGCUUCUCCCAAAACCCGUGCUAGUAGUUCUUCCUCCUUCCCUCCACCUUAUAUUUCAGGCGAAGGUGUUGAUACACAUGCCAUUGAGAUUCGAAGCAAACUCCGUUCAUAUUCCAAGAAGAAUUUGAAUGAAAAUAUCCUACAUUUGCACGGGAAUGCUAUCAUUAUGGGUUCUGCCUAGUUUGGGAAAGUUUUUGAGGAAAUGGCCAAACUUUUUAAGGCAGAUGCUGAAGCUCUGUUUUGCUAUUGUAAUCCUUCUCUAAUAUUCCAUUCCUCGGUUAGCAAGAAUCUAAGCAGAUCAUACCAUUCUAAUGAAGUGAGGAAUAGCUCUAUGAAGUGGUCAUAAUAGUUUGGCCGACUCUCUCCAAGGUAUGAAGGCCAUUGGAAGAAAGCUAGCAUAUAUGAUGCUUUGCUUCUGUCUAAGCAUUCAAUUAAUAGAUAUGAGAAUCUCUUUGCUGCUUCUUUAUGUUUUUGGAAUUCUGCUACAAACACUUUUGACUUUCGUGUUAGCCCUAUGCCUCCAACUCUGCUCGAUAUGGCUCAAAUAUUUGGAUUUAGGCCACAUGAAAGGCCUGCUGAUGCAUUUGGAGAUUAUCACAGAAGGAAAAAUGGUGAAAGAGUAGCUAAAACGAAGCCUUGCCAUUCUUGCCAACGGAAUACCACUUUCCAACAAUUAUUGAGGCCAAUGGCCUUUAAUCUCCUGUUAAUUUAAUCGGAGUCUCCUCCAUGCUUCUCUGAUUUCUCUUUUUCAAAAUGUCGAUCAUUAUCCAAUAGAGCUAUCUGUUUGCCCCUGAAAGUGGAUUUUUCAAGCAAAAAUUGUGCCAUUGCCUAAACGUGUGGCAACUCAAUCCUGUUAAAAACACUGGAUUUUGGUAUGUCCUGUAAUUGUGCUUGCAUAAUCCUGCUGAUGAUACUUGAUUCUUGCCCCUACUAUACUGGAUGGAUUUAUUUAGAUGGAUUGGAUAGCCUUGUUAAGGCACUAUCCUUCUUCUAUGGUUUAAUAUCUGCAUUUUUAUGGUUAUCUCUGGCUCAUUCACACCUUAUAUUUACAAUAAACAACAAUUCCAGACAUAACAGUUGCCUUUGAUCUAAUCAAAGUUUCCUUGAUAACCCUCCUAUUUUGACAGGGACCUAUCUCCACAGUUGCCUUUGACUGAGAGCGUUUUUGCAUAUCCAUGAGUUAAAAACGAAGAGCAAAUUUACUGGCCAUACUGGAUUGUGAGAAGUGGCUUUGGAGACACUCUUAGAGAGGUGCAGCCGACAGUGAGAGAGAGAAUGGACUCAAAGAGUAUACUGGUGAUGUAGCUGACAAUGAGUUGGUCUUGUUGGUACCACUGAGCACGGGCAGGAUUGGUUUGGGUAAGAGAGAUGGUGGUGAUUGUGGGUGUUACGGUGGUAGAAGUGGAGGUUUGAGCAGAAGGUUGUUUAUGAGUGCCUUCGAUAAAUUUUCAGAGGUCAUGACCGACUCAAAAGAGUUUGAGUUGGCAGAGCCAAAGGAGGUAGUUGGAGUCAGUAAGCUUGAUAAAAUAAGAACAGUUGGGGUUAGGGAAGGAGAUGGUGGAUUCAGACGAAGCCAUGAGGUGGACCUAAAGGAAACGAUUGGAUCGAAUAAGGGAGAGGGAGGAAACCCUAGGUAAGGCUGAUAUCAUGUAGAGAAUAUAUUUUCUUGUAUUAAACAGAAUACACAAAGUCCCUAUUUAUACUGAUACAGGAAAUCAACUUAGGAUAGGAAAUAAUAUAGACAUGAAUACAAUCCCAUUUACAGCAGGAAAAGCUAAUUGCUAGGAGGAGAUUGUGAAGUUGACUUCCGUGUGUACUAGGAAAGGAAAGCUGCGUUAACAUCUUUCUUUGGCCAAUUUAGAUUUACCAUAUUGACUUGAGUUUUGGGAAAAGGGAUUGUAUCAAUAGUGGGGACCUUCUUUGCUAUUUUCAACUUUCUUGAGGCUAAUGCUUCUUAGACAACAUCCCUUAAAACAACACAGCUAUUGGUAGUGUGAUUCAAAGAAUAUUAUGCCACUUGCAAUACUGUCUUCCCUUCAAUUCUUCUGACUUUGGCAACCUGUGUCUAGGUGGUGUAUCUAUAGCCUUCUGAGAUAACAUUUCAUCAAACAAACCGUCUAACUUUGAUAAAUCAAAAGAAUAAACCUUGUUUGUUGGCUGUUUAUUUGGAAUGAAACCUCCAGUGAAGGGUGGUGGUUUUUGAUCCUUUGGUGCCUUUAGCAAAACUUUACAACUUAUUGUCCCUUUAUUUUAGCCAUUUUUGCCACCACUGCCAUAGUUUCCUCUGGUUCUAGCUCCUUUUCUUAUUCUACCUGCACCAAAUGUAUUGAAGAUGAAGGGGUCUUGUAGUAUGUACAUUUAGAAGCAUUCCUCUUCUGUUGUUAUUCCUUCAAUAAUUCUUCAUAUUUGGUGACCUUAUCCGCCAGUUCUGCUAAGUCUCCAAAUAUUAUUCCAUUGAACCUUUUUCUCAAGGAGAUCCUCAAUGAUGUCUGUCCCAUCUGGAUAAAGUGCCUCUCAUAUAUAGGAAUUCUAAACUUCAUUUUCAGCUUUCUGAACCUAGUAAUAAAGUCAUGAGCUGCCUCAUUCUCACUCAGCUUCAGUACAGUCCUCAGGCUAGAUUCUGUACUAGUAAUCAUGGAAAGCAGUGCUUAGCCUUUUUGCAUAAUACAGUGGAUUAGGAUAAGAAAAAUAGGAUUCCUAUGGAAGAACUUCUUUUGGGGGGGGGGGGGGGGGGGGGGGGGGUUUUCCCUUUGGGUUUCCAAAAAAUUAAAAAAAAUUUUUUUAAGGGCCCCCCUUCUUAGAAAUUUUUGGGAAUUUUUUACUCCGUUAAAAAUUGAGAAACCUUCCAGCAACCUUCUUUUUUUUUUUUNNNNNNNNNNNNNNNNNNNNNNNNNNNNNNNNNNNNNNNNNNNNNNNNNNNNNNNNNNNNNNNNNNNNNNNNNNNNNNNNNNNNNNNNNNNNNNNNNNNNAAAGAAACUUGAAUUUUUCAAUCCAUCUGUUUUUGUUAUCCAAAGCAAAAACAAAAAGUACUUGUUUGCUCUUCCCUUUUCCAUUUACUUGUUGUGUAUUUUCAGACUCCAUUUGAGUGCAGCUAUGAAUUUUAUCAUGUCAAUCAUAAAAUACAGCAUAAAAAAUAUCAAAAAAUGUACAUCAUCAACCAUAGAUUAAACAUGACACAUCUUAUGUUGAAUGGAAAAGGACGCAGUAGGAAUUUACAGAUUUGGCAUCCGAACUCUGAUUGGCGUGUAUGAUACCUUUCUGAAAAGGAAACAAUGCUACGAGUCAAACACACUGCUUUGCUAUGACGUAUGGUGGAUUUUGGGCUUUUGAGGUCGUUUAGGCUUCCAAAACAGCAUUUAAAAGUUGAAAUUUUUGGAUUUUCGUUUUUUUAAUGUUCAUUUAUAUUUGUCUCAGUAUUUUUGUUCGAUUAUAGAAAGGUUGUCAAUUAUUUCAAUUUUCUAUCUAGUCGUAUAUAGAUAUUUCAAAAGAAAAAGUAGUAACAAGCAUAAACCCUAGUAAACAAGCAUAAACCCUAGUAACAAGUAUAAGCCUAAUAACAAGAAAAACACGAUGAAGAAAAAAUCAUGGAAAAAGAAAACCCAACAAGGUAUGGAUCAAAGAAAAAAUAGGGAGCAUACCUUCACAGAUGAAGGAAUGAAGAUGUUCAUCUUCGCAGAUAGAAAAGCUAGGGCAAGAGAAAAACGUAUGAUGAAAUACUUGGGAGGGAGGUUGGAUUAUUUUGGUCUUUGUUAUUUAUAACUCUCCCCUUAAAACCUUCCAAAUAUAUCACCUUUCGAAUACACCUAGAUUUGAUUCAACUUUUUUAUAAUCCUAAUUGAAUACACCCAUAUUUGAAUAGACAUUUUAAAAGUUCAUAUAAGUCCGAAUUGAAUACACCCAGACUUGUAAAACCUCUUUUAAAAUUUUGUAUAAAUCCAAAUUGAAUACACUCGGAUUUUUAAAAUCUUUUUAAACGCUUUAUAAUCCUAAUUGAAAACACUCUAUUGGGAUUGUCAUUGCAGCUGCCAUUGGAUUCUAUCAAGCCUAAAUACAUGAUUAAAUAAACUUACAAAAUUUAGAGAAUCUUUCUAUCUUUGCGUGUCUAUUGAGACCGGUUAAGUGUGAACUACUAGGGACUGAAACAUAUUUGUACUUUUUAUCCUCUAAUUGAUCUUUUCCAUGUUUAAUGUUCUCACUUAGAAUUGAAUUUAGAUGGAUAACCUUUAUUUGGAUAAUAUCCAACCCAUACAAGUGAGACAUUUAGUAUAAAAGUUCCAAUAUUUGAAAUUUCCAAGCAAUCUUGUCCAAUUACUUCUGAUAUAAGCCGUCUUUAACAUUAUAUUGGGCAGAAAAUCAGAAUAUUUGGCCAUCUUCAACUUUGUGAGAUGUUCAAAUUUGGUCUACUUCCAGAUUCUAUUUUUGUAUGAAGCAACAAGCUACAAUUAGAUAAUAACUUACUGAAAAAUGAGACAAUAAAGUGGAUGAGGAAUCAAAAUAUAUCAUUACAUUUUCUCAUGUUUCCUGCAGAAUAAAACAUUUAGAAUUGUACAUGGCUUAAAAGACAAAUCUUCUUGUCAUCCAGUUCAAAAUUGGAGUUAUGAUUUUGGGCUCAAUAGUCUUCGAAUCGAGAGUUCAUGAUAUCGUCAUUCGACUGCUUCACAAAUUUUGUAUCUUCGUGCUCAGCUCACAAGCACUUUGACCAUCAAAGAAGGCUUCCCAGAUUCAUAAGCAACAGAAAAAUGUGCAUAUGAUCAAUCACAGCCUCUACUUCAUCUUGACACGGCGAGUUCUUCUGAUCGAACUGAGGCUGAUUUGGAUAUGAACCAGAUUCACUUCAUUUGCGUUCAUUCAUACACUUAAGCUGCAAGUGAGAUGAAUGAAGGUUUCAUCACUGCAGGGGAUUGUGAUACCACCCAUUGGAUGAUCAUAUCCAAAUUCUUCUUCUGCUUGACUUAGCAAAUCCAAGAACAAAGGCUCAUUCAAGUAUGAUAUUGGAACCACAAAUCGCUUCUUCUGGCUCCCCCCAACAUACACUGCAAAGUAGCCUUUUGGGAUGUCUACGGUGUUUGAAGUAGCAGCCUUGUUUAGACCCUUCUUGGAGUUAACAAUUCCUGGCAAUCGGAAUCCCAUGGUUUUUAUAUUCUCAAGUGGAAAAUUUGAACAAGAAAGAAUUCAGAGGACUUGGGAAACAGAGAAGACUUUGAUGCUUGGCAAGGAGAGAGACUUGAGUUGUUGGUUAUGAACCUGAUCUCUUGUGUAUAUAUAGAUGAAAGAGUAUCGCCUUCUACAUGAAAUGAGUGGUCUCGAGGCGCAGAGAUUUGCCCCAGUGAAGGAUAAUAGCUUGUGAGAAAUCAAAACAUAACAUGGGUUGUCUUCCCACUCACAUAAAUCAUCUCCACAUGCAAUGACAAAACUGUAUCCCUCUGUACAAACAUCAUUCCCCACGUCUUAUUUCAUCGAGUAAUUUGUUGUGGUCUAAAGAUUGCUAAUGUGUUCCUGUCAAGAGACUAUGGACAGAUAUGUCUUAACCCUGUUUUGUACUUCAAAGAAGUCUUUUCUAUCCACAUAUAAAGAGUUUGUAGGUGUCACAAAAAAAAUUGUUGGGCAUCAUGUUCUCCAACAAACGUACAGACGUAAUAACUACCAAGUUCUUGAGAAUGAGAUGGAAAACAGACCAUGUGAUCCCUCAAAUUCUCAUGCCUCUUUCCAAUCCCCACCCAAUUGUCCCCAUUUCAGAUAUUUUCCUCUACACACCCUUUCAUCUAUACGUAGACACACACAUACACACAGAUGAUCCCAUAAACAAUUGAAAUCCUGAGUCUUUACAAACAUGAAAUCUAAUGAGACGUGAUCCUAAAAUGAUUUAGUUUCCUGUUUUAUUUGUAUUUAUUUCAUAGAUUUGCUGUAUAUAUUCCUUAUCUCUCAAGGACUUGAUUCUUGCCUAGAAUAGGAAAUCCUUUGUGUAGACACCAAGCAAAGCAUUGUAUAUAAUUAUCACAUGAUUGUUCAAUGAAAAUCAUCGAGAAUAUUCAAAACCUUUCAUGGUAUCAAGAGCCUGAGACUCACAGUCCUCGAUCCUCAAUUUUCUUGUUCCCUGUCUUUUUUUUUUUUUUGUUGGCACCAUGGCUUCUUCCUCGUCUAUUGAUUUUCCUAGCGUUCAUCAUGUUAUCUCCAUUCGUCUCAAGUGUGAUAAUUAUCUGACGUGGCUUGCUCAAAUUGUUCCUAUCCUUCGCAUCUGCCGCUUGCUCAGCUUUGUUGACGGCACUUCUCUGUGUCCUCCGACCAUUCCUGACCCAAAUGCUAAGGCCGAUGAAUCUACUUUUCUGUCUCUCCUCCCCAACCCAGAGUAUGAUGAUUGGGUCCAGAAAUAUCAGCUUGUUUUCUCUCUCUCAUCAACGGUUCCUUUCACCAUGAAGUUCUCACCACCGUAGCUUCCAAGACCAUCGCUGUGACACUUGGGUAGCCCUUGAAACUCAUUUUGCUUCUCCGAAUCAGAAUCGUCUUCUUCAACUUCACAGUAACUUGCUUUGCACAACCUGUUGUGAAUCUUCCAUCACUGAUUUCCUUGAUCGUAUUAACUCGAUUGACGAUAACUUGGCUCUGGCAGGUGCUUUAGUUGCUGACUCUGAUCUCCUUGUGAUGGUUAUGAACAACGUUUGUCCUCUUUAUGAAAAUACCAUUGCCGCUACUCAAGCUCGUGAGAAACCCAUCAAUAUGCCUGAUCUUGAUGCUCUCCUCUUGUCUGCUGAACGUGGCCUGUAGUUAUCUUAUUCUCUGGUCAUGUAUUCUGGUGCGACAGCUAUGGAAGCUUCCCAUGGUGGUCUCGGUGGCUGUGAUUUUGGCGAUUGUGCUGGGUUUGCUGGUCAUAGUCCCGAUCUUCCCAACUCAUUCUCUCCCUCACGACUAGGUUUUACUUCUGGUCGCGGUUUCCCUGGCGCUUCCUAUGGCGCCUCUAGUCCUGCCUCACAUCAACAACAUUUUGGUAGCAAUAUCGAGCUGAGUGUUCUUGGCCCACCUCCUUCUGGCUCUACUGCUUCCUCUUUUGGGCUUCAUUCUGCCCCUAGGCCUCUUCAAUGUUUCAAUUGUCAUGGUUUUGGCCACAUCGCAGCUGUCUGUCCUUCCAAGACGUUUUCUGUGCCUUCUCCUCUGUCUCGUCUUCAAGACAUAACUGCUCAAUAUCCUUCACAUGGUGGCCAUCAACAGUGGGUUGAUGAUACCGAUGCAAACACUCAUAUUACCAAUGACCUGAGCUUCUUAUCCCUUGCUAAACAGUAUCAUGGUUCUGACAAUGUUGGAGGUGUGCUUGGUGGAACAGGUUCGCCUAUUAAAAAUAUUGGUCACUCUCGUUUCUCUCACCUUAAUUCUUCUUUUCAUCUUAAUGAUAUUGUUCAUUGUCUCGAUGCAUCUCUUCCUCUCUUACCUAUUCAUAAAUUUCCCACUAACAACCAUUGUUUCUUCACUUUUUUUCCUAAUUGUUAUUUUAUCCAGGAUUUGGGGACGAGGAGGACACUUUCUUGGGCAAGAGUAGUAAUGGCCUAUAUCCCUUUUCAUUUACACCGAAUGAGUUUUUUCAAGUUUUGCGUGAUCGUGUUGCUUUACUAGGUGUCUAUGUUGACCGCUCUGUGUGGCACUCUCGCCUUGGUCAUCCUGCUUCGUCUACUUUGCAAUUUUUGUUAUCUCAUAAUAAAUUGCCAUCUUCUGGCUCUGUCUAGUUCUUUUUGUCAGUCAUGUACGUUGGGUAAAAGUGUUAAAUUACCCUUUAGUCCUUUUUAUGUCCUUUCUUCUCCACUGAAACUUAUUCACUCUGAUGUAUGGAGUUCUUCAAAUAAAUCUAUUUCUUAUUUUAAUUAUUAUGUUUUAUAUGUUGAUGAUUUUUGUCGUUAUUCUUGAAUUUUUCCAAUGAAAUUGAAAUCAUAAGUUUUCUCUCACUUCAUUAAAUUUAAGGCUUUGGUUGAAAAUAUGUUUUUCACUACGAUUAAGGCAUUUCAAUCAGAUGGGGGUGGGGAAUACACUAGUCAUCAAUUUAAGAAUUUUUUAUCUCAUCAUGGCAUUCAUCAUCGUCUUUCUUGUCCACAUCAUCCUGAGUAAAAUGGUUUAGCCGAACGUAAGCAUCGUCACAUUGUUGACACCGGGCUCACUCUUUUAGCCAAUGCCUUUAUGCCUCCUUCCUAUUGGGCUGAGGCCAAGCACACCACUGUUUAUUUAAUUUACCGUCUUUCUUCUAAGUUGCUUCAGUAUAAAUCACCCUAUGAAUUAUUGUUUCACAAAGAACAUAAUUAUUCGUUUUUAAAACCUUUUGGGUGUGCAUGUUUUCCUUAUUUACGGCCAUAUAAUAAUAAUAAAUUACAAUUUCGGUCUUCCAAAUGUGUGUUACUUGGUUAUUCUUUGAACCCUCAAGGUUAUCGAUGCUUGGAUCUUGUUUCUAAUCAUGUUUUUUUAUCGCGUCAUGUGUUAUUUGAUGAAGUUUCUUUUCUGUUUAACAAGGCACAUGCUGCUACUACUCCAGACCAUUCUCCGUCAUCAGACCUGCCUGUCAUCCUCUCUGGCCCAAGUUUAUCUUCAUGCAGCCCAUGCCUUCCAGUGUCGUAUUCUCUGCCUAGUCUCCCUUCUUUGGUGCCAAAAUUAGGAAGCGGAGAGUGAGAACUCACACACACGGGUACCAUGGGAGCUUGAACCCAAGACCUCUUGAGAGCACACCAAAAGCCUAGGAAAAUCCACCUAACACCCCAUUAGUCGACAGUAAAUAGUUCAAUUGCAUAAAAAGAAAACAAGAAGACUUAAUGGAUAUGAAAAAUAGUUUUUCCAACAUAUUUCUUCCCUCGUAUAAGUACAUUAAAAAUUGAACAAAUGAGAUUCCAAAUUGGUUGUCGUCAUCUUUUAGAUCCUUUUUCUAUCUCUUCAACCGUUGGGAGGGUUUUUUUAUUUAAAUUAUUUUUUUGUCAAAAAUGAUUGCUAAUUAAUUACAGUUUUACUUUUUCUUUUUUGCUUUUGUAAUGAAUAAAGAGUACAAAUGAAACAUCGUCAAAAUUGCUUGACAAAGUGGGCUGUCGUUUAAAAAAAAUGUAGAUUACAAGUUUAAUGGACAAGCAAUUUGUGAUCUAUAAAGAUGUUGCUUCCUAUUGCUUUCACCAUUAUUUCCACCAAAGUAAAAUUUAUAGCUGAAAGUUAGAUCAGUUUCGUACACAUAGUAGAUCCAAAAUGUUACUACCAAAAAGGCUUCAGUUUUAACUUGCUACACUUUGCCUACCACUGGAAAUAUCCAAUUCGGAGUGCAUGAGGGUAAAAUUGAGUGUCAUUAUUGGUAGUGAAAUACUUUGUGAUUAGGAAAUAUAUCUUGACAAUUUGAUUAUAACAAAUGAAUAGAAAAAAAAUUAGAAAUACCUGCAUAUAUAGUUAUGGAACAGUUAGAGAUUGAAAUUUCAACCGGCCAGCAAGAAAGGAAAAGGGAGAGAAUCCCAAAAACAAUAGAAAUGUGUGGCAUGGGAGGAGCCCCUAUUAUGUCACCUCCUUAGUUUUCAAUUAAGAAAACGUAGUGAAAAUAUGAGAAUCCUUCCCAGCCACACAUCUCCAUUGGCCUCUGGGAGGCCUAUCUCCCAUUUCAAGUCAGCCAAUUCUAAGAGUGUAUUAUGCUCUCAAGAUUUAGAGCCCAUUAUUUAUAGGGAAGCCAAGGGUACAUAAGUUCAAAAAAUAACCUAUAGUGCCCAUGGUUUCCAUAUGGUGAGGAAUCUAUGCGCCAUCGUAGUUGUUUCACCACAUGUUUUGACAAUUUUCGUGAGGAAGCGAAAAGGAAAAUUGGGUUGGUAUUCUUGCAUGCUUCCCACACGUCGUAAAAUAAAUUCUUGAUAUACCUAUUAAACCAUUUCUUUUAUCAGUUCACGUGAUGAACACGAUGAGAGAGAUAAAGAGAAACCGGCCGGUUACAUCUGACACCUAUGAACAGAAAAGAAUCCAAAACCGUGAUAGGUUGGUGAAGGGAAGUGAUGUUUUUGGUUUUCCAAAAUUGGAUUUUGGAUUUUGGGGAUAUUAGUACCAGUUUUUGAGCCACUAAAUAAUUCGAUUGCAUAAUCAAACUUAAAACAAAAGUUACAGGUAUGUUAGAUAUGAAAUAUAAUUCAAUUGCCUUCUACUUGAUUAUGAUCUUCCUCGCUGGACUAUGAAUGCUAUUGGGCUUCUAAUUUGUUGCUCCAAAAACCCAUUUACCGCAACGGGCCAUUCAUCGGGCCUCCAUAAAUUCAGGUCCAAUCAACAUUUAUAUGGAGAUGAAUGCUAGAUUGGAAAAUCCAUGAAAUCUGCAGUAUGUGGUGGUGUAGAGGCUAUAUGCUGUGGUGGGGAUGAAUGGGGAGACAUAUGCAUAUGAAGGAUCACAUGGUUCUGUCUUCCACAUCAUCAAGAAUUUGGCAAUGAUUGAGACUUCAUAUCUGUUGGAUUGUGUUUUAGUUUUAAAUCUGAAGUCCUUGCUAGGACAGGAAGCUAGACAAGUUGCUGACUCUAAUAUAUCUUUAUAACGGUAUGUAAAUAUUUUUGUAGUUUGUCAAAAAUAAAAAAAUCUUGUCAUGCACCUAUCAAUAAUACAUUGAGGUUUUUUUUCCCUCAGAUAAUUUGUUUUUCUAAGGGUUUUCAAAAAUCUAGUUUAUGCAAGCUGGAAUUAUGCAAAUAGACUUUGGCAAGAGAAAAUUAAUGUCAUAGCAUAUUGUCAUGAAACAAAUAUUUGUGUCAGGAGUUGAUUUGCAAGAAUGUGUUUCAUCAAAAUUUGAUAACUUAGGAUCAAUCAAGCAUUAAAAAUGCCACUGAAAUGGGCAUGAUAUUUCCCCAAUCUGUAUGAGGAACCAUGUAAAAAGUUAUAUGGUCAGCAUUUUAGUCAAAUUCUUGUGCAAAUCUGCUACCACUUGUGGGAUUAACUAUAUAACAAGGGCUACAAGAAGAUAAUACUAUAAUGCAAACCAUAAGACAAGAAAGGAUGAGGAUUUCAAAUAGAUUGUAUAUUGCUCCUGGAGAACAACAAAGAAGUUUACAUAGGUUCAAAAGACAGAAUUUGACUGCCUUUGGGUGGGGGAUGAUAUUUGGACCAAUGGUUCUAGGGAGUUCAUAAUAUCAUCACUUGUCUGCUUCAUAAAAGCUCAGCCUAGAAGCAGCUUCAGCAUUUGAGAAGGUUUGCUUUCACCAUAAGAUGUGAGUUGAUUCCAUGGAUGAGCAGUGGUAGCCUCUUCUUCAUCCCAACUCAGCGAGUUCUGAAAUGUGGAUGCUUUGGAUAUGAUCAUAUCCAAAUUCUUUCAUCUUGGCUCAGUGAGCUCUGAAAUGAGGAUGGUUUGGAUAGAUUGGAUGACCGAUUCGUGUACACUCACACACUUAAGCGGGAAGUGAGAUCAAGGAAGGUGUUUUCACUGCAGGGGAUUGUGAUACCUCCCAUGGGAUGAUCAUAUCCGAAUUCUUCUUCAGCUUGACUCAGCAAAUCCAGGAAUAAAGGCUCAUUCAAAUAUGAUAUCGGAAUCACAAACCGCUUCUUCUGGCUCUCCCCAACAUAGACUGCAAAGUUGCCUUUUGGGAUAUCUAAAGUCUUUGAAUCUGCUGUCUGGCUUGAACUAGAUAGAGAUCGAAUGAGACUUCUCUUUGCGUUAACAAUUGCAGGCAACCGGAAACCCAUGAUCUUAUAUAUUCUCAAAGGACAAAAGAAGAGAGGGAAUUCAAAGGACUUGGAUUUGGAAAGCAGAGAAAGCUUUGGUGCUUGAGAAGGUGAAGACUUGAGUUGCUCAUGAUGAACUUGGUCAUGUGUAUAUAUAGAUCAAGGGUAUCCAGAAAAUCAACAGCUACAUGAAAUUAUUGGUCUGAGAUGGGCUCCAAUGAGGGACACUUGAUUGUGAGAAAUCACAUGGGCUUGUCGUCCUUCUCACCCAACACAUCCUUGAAAGAUUUCUCACGGAACUCUUCCCUACCUCCUCUAGGUAACAGACAACAAAAGGACCACCAGAGGUGAUUCAAUCCAAAAGAAUUUUGUCUGUUAGGUAAGUAGCAUUUAUGCUUCAGACAUGCACUUCUCUUUGUUCACACUAAUUCAGCUGACCACAUAAUCGGACUAUUAUACUACAAAGUUUCUUGAAUAGGUCUGCUAAUGAAUUGCCCUCUCACUUCAUCAAAAGACCAACAACACUGCAUAUGUUGUGGUCCUACCCAACACUGAUACAAUUGUGUUGUGUGGUGCUAAAUAGCUUGCUUGGGAGCAGCAAGGCACCCUACAUGUGGCUUUGUAGUUUCGUCUCUGAUCUUCAGUCUCAGCAAACAAAGGAGUUAUUUAUUUCAUUUUGUUAGGCCAAUCUGGACUUAACCAGAAAACACUAUUGCAACUCGGUCUAAACUCAAUUUUUUUAAAAACCAUUUUCCAUUACAACUCUUGGUUUAACAAAACCAUUGCCAGUCUUGUUUUAGGUAAGUUCGGCGAAAAGCCUACUAGAGAAAUCUAGAAAAUUCUAGAGAGAAGGAGAAGCUAGGUUGAUAAUCUCUUCUUGCCUUUGCUUAUGUCAACAACUGAAGAAGCCAUGUAAACUUGGCUUGCACUCUCUAGCAUAGGGAAAGUCGUGCAUAUAUAUUGUGCCAUUUUUUUAAUGAAAGAAACUUAGUUGUUCGGCUCAGUGUCUCUCUAUAUUAACUCAUGAUGACUCUCCUCCUUAUUAUUCUUUCAGUCCAUUGAGAGAUGUUAAGCAUACUGUGCUUAAUAUAUUAUUAAAUUAUCAGAUACAGUCAUUUUGCCCCCAUGGAUAAAGGAAGUACAAAGUAAACCAUUAUACUUUCAUUUUCUGAAAAAUAUGCUGUCAGUGAUGAUUUUAUUUUAUGACAGAGCUACAAGUACAAUGAAAAAUAAGACAAGAAAGUGGAUCAGGAUUUAAAUUUGCAUUCCAAUAUAUUUUCCUGGAGAGUAACAAAGGUUACACAUGAGAAGAUCAUAGCAUCCAACCCAAAUGUGGAGAGCCCCAAGAUCUUUUAUACUACAAUGCACGUCUUUAAGUUCCGUAUGUACUCUCAAGAACAAUAGUUCAAAAUUUCGAUCAUGAUUUUGGACUAAAGUUUUUCAACGUCCAUAGUGUCUUCGUUUGUCGGAUUCAUGAACUUUUUAACUUUAUGCUCAGAUCACAAGCAGCUUCAGGCUUACAGAUUGCUUCCUCUCAGCACAAGAUGUAAGUCGACAGUGGACGAUCAAGAAUAGCCUCUUUCUCAUCAUUACUCAGUGAGUUCUGGAAUGAGGAUGCUUAUACAUGAAUGAAUUUGGAUCAUAGUUUCUUUUCUUUGGUGUGCACUCAUACACUUAAGCGGGAAGUGAGAUGAAGGAAGAUGUCUUCACUGCAGGGGAUUGUGAUACCACCCAUGGGAUGAUCAUAUCCAAAUUCUUCUUCAGCUUGACUCAGCAAAUCCCGGAACAAAGGCUUAUUCAAAUAUGAUAUUGGAAUCAAAAACCGUUUCUUUUGGCUCUCCCCAACAUAGACUGCAAAAUAGCCUUUUGGGAUAUCUAAGGUCUUUGAAUCAUCUGUCUGACUUGAACUAGAUAGAGAUCGAAUGAGACUUCUCUUGGCGUUAACAAUUCCAGGCAACCGGAAACCCAUGAUUUAGUACAUUCUCAAGAGGACAAGACGAGGAAAAAGAUUGGCAAGGACUUGGAAAAAACAGAGAGAGCUUUGAUGCGUGGGAAGGAUAGGACUUGAGUAGCUCAUGAUGAACCGAUCAUAGUAUAGAUAUACAUGAAAGGUAUGCAAAAAAAUCAUCAGGUACAUGAAAUGAUUUGUACUGAAGAGGAACUGAGAGGAGAAGCAAUGAGGGCCACUAGCUUGUACCAAAUCACAUGGGUUUGUUUUCGUGCUCAUGCAACCCUUCCGCAAGAGAUUUCUCAUGAAAAUGAUCACACUCUAUCCUUGUGUAGAAAAAGGAUACCCUACCUAGCUAGCUCCUCUGCUUAACAGACAACAAAAGGGACCACCAUGUUCUUGAAAAAUGAAUUCAUUGCUCCUCUGGUUAAUUAACAGUACUGCAUAUGGUAUGCCCUACAACAAAAACUUGUUAACUUGUGUGAUAAACUAGUAGUCCCUUUCUUUUUCAUCUUUUUAUAAAUGCUGCUUCAAAAGACAAGAAUUUGUGGUGCUAUGAGAAUAUACAUGGACCCUCGGAUGCUCUAUGAUUUGGUUGGUUGGGAGCACCAAACCACCCUUGCAUGUGGCUUUGUCCUUUCAUCUAUGAUCUUCAGGCCCAACAAGCAAGGGAAGUCUUUCAUUUGUUUGAAGAAUUGAUACUUAUUGAGAAUGCAGUAGGUAAUGAGUACAUAUCUAAAAAGCAUAUGAUAUCAAGAGAGUGCUAAUCUGUAGCAAUUGUAAAUGUAGGAUACAUACUUUUUACUUAAAGUUAAACAUAUGAAAAGAUGUUUUACUAAUCGAAUUAUUUGAUAUAGCAAAUGUAAAUUGAAAAAGAUGAAAACCAACAUUAAGUUCUCUUUGUAGGCGCUAGUAGAGUAAAACAUGCCAAUUCGUUGUAAGUGCAAGCCACAUCGCUUAUGCUUAUACUCAACAUGAAAUGAAUUGUUGACAUUACAAUUCGUGAAAUCUAUCUGUUGACUCUAGCGACGUCAGUAAUUUCAUCUAAAUUGUAGAAAUUUGUUAUAAAAACAAAGAAGAUUAUUGAACAACCUGAUUACCUAAAACCAAAUUAGAUUUUAGAAAAAUAUAGUAGAUACAUAAAACUUUAUUACCUAACAAAGAAAGAUGUCAAAUCUUUCAAAAACAUUUUCUUACAACCAAGGGAAAAAAUCCAAGAUUGAAUUGAUGAAAAUGACUUCGUUUGGACCACUCAAACCUUCUUUGCUAAUUACUCAGUUAGCUAGUUUGUUAAAGUAGAGAAGUUACCUAGUAUAUCUCCAACAAAAAUAGUCAUAUUGUAAAGCCUGUUAUGUAACUAAGGGAAUUGUGGAGAGAAUAUAGAGAAAACAAGUAGCAAUAGAAAGGCUCUUCAUCUGCUUGUAUUAAAGUUUACUUUGUAUCCAUUACAAUUGAGAAGGUAGCCUUGUUUAUAGGCCAAGCCUUGGCUAACAACCAGAGAAAGAAGGCUCAUGGAAGGUGUAAGCAAAUAACGUUCCAACUUGUGGGCUCCACUUGCAGACUUUUACAACACUCUCUCUUGGAUACCACAAUGUAUGGAAUCUGUCUCGUUAAAAACCUUGCCAAUAAAAUUUAGUGGGACAAAAAAUGGUCCAAAGGGAAAAAGAGCGCAUAAUCAUGUGUAACAUAAAAUUAUGUAUAUAUAACACUGACACGCGUGCGACACUGCCUCGUUAAAACCUUGCCAGGUAAAACUCAGUGGGACAAAAAAGAAAAAACUAGAUGAAGGAAAAAGAGUACAAUGUGUGAAAAUCUUAUUGAUGGCACGCUCCCCCUGAUGCUGACAAAAUAUCUUUAAGUCAUGAUGUUGACAAUCUUUCUGAAUGUCGUAGUUGAACACUGCUUCCAUGAAUCAAUCUUGUAAUACUGGUGGAUGCUACCCCUAAAGAAUUACUCCCCUUGAUGUCUUCUUUGAUGAUCCAACACAAAUGAUAUUGAUAUCACAUUUGUACUUCACAAACUGAUCUUUGGUAAUGCUUGUAGAAAACUUGUUGUUGUAACAUCUCUGGAGGAUCCCUGUGUGUCGUCAUUCAUCUAAUUCUUAUUGAGGUUAGAGUAAUACAGAAAAAUAUCUAGGCUAUUUUCAUAAGACUUUCACUGUACACAAUGGUUUGAAUUUCAUAUGUUUUCCAAUAUAAAAAACAAUAAGCUCAUAUUUAUAAUGAUAAGAGCAUUAAAUAUUUAUAUGGUGUUGUUUACCCUUUUUGUAUUUGAGUAUGUUGAAGCCUAAAUAAAAUUCCCCAUUAAUUUUUUAAACACUUAAUGGUUUCUUGAGUAACUUUCUUGCCACUAUUAGCAGAUAAUACCCUAACAGAUUUGAACAACUUUAUAUACUUGCACCCCAAGUAAUAGACUUUAAACAAACAAUUGUGAUUUUGGAUGGGGAAACCUCCCAAGAGAGUUCUUUUCUAUGCCUCAGACUUGUGACGACUUCACAAUUUAUUAAGACAAAAAUGGUAAGCAAAGCAAAAUACACAAAUUUAUGAAGGGUAUAACAGACUAAUCCAAGCAAAACUACUUGAAGCACAAAGUAACAAAUGAAUCUUUAAAUCUACGUACUUCUCAAAGGGGUUGGACUUUGACUUAUGUUUGAAAACAUAGUCGCAAUGAUGACUUGUGAUUAGACUGGACUGAACUUUUGUUGACUAGAUUGAAUGUUUCUGCACUGGAAUUUCAUGUCAGCACCUUCAACUAAUAGAGAUUAGCUAGAAAUCGAUACCAAGUUUGAAGUUUGGCAGAGCUAUAAACAAGUUAAACCUUGAAUAGGCUAUGGAAGUGAUCAAAACUGCAAACGAGUACCUAUUCUUGUUGAUUCUGAGUGAUUUUAAAGCUAUCUAGACAAUUUUAAGACAUUAAGAUGUAUUUGAAAAGCUUGUUGAGGAUUUUGUAUGAUGAAAUACCUGACUUCUUCUUGUUUUAUCUAAUUUGAUGAACCAAAUUUGUCAGAGGAAUUAAUCUCGUUUGAAUUCUGUUUGAUUUACCUUAUCUGGAUUACAAGGGCAAUCUUGGUUUCUUCUUGGUUUUCUGAACUUCUUUUUGAGCUGGAUUGCUUGUUAAGGAAGAUUGCUUGCUUGCUUUUGGUAGUUGUAAGAUCAUAUGAUCUUUGAUUUCUUUUUAUCAAUCUGGAGUUAUUGUUGAGUUUUUCCUUAAUUUGUUGGUUAUUUGUCCCUUCUCCUGUCCAGACACUUUUGUAUUUAUAGGAGAAAAAUGAUGUUGAAGAAAUCUGGAAUUUUUAGUUUUGGACUAUCCUCCAUUUAAUGCACAAGUGGCAAAAGUUUUGUUAGUUAAUGCAUUGAUCGUUUUUGGCACCUGCUCAUUAAUGUUCUUGAAUGUCUCCUGAUCGUUCCUUUUGGAACAACUAAGCUGAAGUGAGCAAUAAUGCCCAAAUUCCUCCAACGUUGGUGUAACACCCGGAUCCAAUUUUAACUUCUCAUUCAAAUUAUUUAAUUUAUUUAAUUGUGAAAUUACAAUUUUACCCUUAGGGCAGGGUUAUUUUGGUCAGUUUUUAAUCCGAUAGGAUUUUGGGGAAUUGAAUGGCACCAUUACUUAGAGUGCAUCGAUACGAGUUCAUAGACAUUCAGUGGGAUCAAAUAAGAGUUUUAACAAAGAAGUUACGAUCAACGGAAGUGCAAUGGCACCACCGUAAAUAUUUCAAAAUUUGAAAUUGAAACACUAGAUUCUCUCUCUCAAUCUCUCCCUCAUGAAUCUCUCUCUCCUCUGUUGGGAGCACCACAACCCCGUCGUCUUCUAACGAUGAUUCCGGCGUCAUCCUUCCUCUCCUGCUACGAAACUGGUUACAAUUUUUUUUCAUCUCUCUCUCCUCUUUACAUCCAUACCAAUUUCCAACCUCAAUUCCAAGGGAUUAAGCCAAAAAUUCGAACGAAAACCCAACUCAAACUGGCCUGUCAAAAACCAUGACUUUCGGCGUUUGUUCCGGCCAACUUCACCGAUCACCAGGUGGGUUCCAAAACACUCCCGUGCCUCCCCUCUGUAAUUUUCCUCGAAGACCCGACUUGAUUUCAACCCGAAACCAUCGAAUUGAAACCUAGAAGGUGUUUCAACGAGAAAACCAACUGUUCGAGGGCUUUAGCGGCUGAAUUGAUCUUCAAGCAAAGGUAUAAAGUUACUCCCCUUGAUGUGUUUGAUCUUUUGAUAUGAUUAUUGGCCAGCGGUUUGGAGUUUUUCGAUCGCCGGAAAUUUUUUCAAGACACCCGUAGGCAGUGGUGGCUCGUCAGUGGGGUAUCAAGGUUGGGUUUUGAAGCUAGAAUGUUCCCCAUGUCGUCCCAAGCACGAUAGUAUGCUCAAAUUUGAAUUUGGUUGUUGUUUGACGGUCGAUCAAAUUUACACAUAUUAGGCGUCUUCCGUGUUCGAUAUGUUCAGACCGUUGGAUCAACUCCAUUUCCAACUAUGCUGGUCUAGAUACCUCUCAGAUCAUGUAGGAACUACGAAUUGAGAAUCGGAGUCCCGGAUACUCCAAUUUAAUGGCUCAAAGUUUGGGUAAAACGGUGACCGCCCGAUCGUAUGAUUGUGAGCGAUCCGACCGCUCGAUCUGGACCAAACUUGUAGGACGUGUUUAGUAAGCUUUGUUGAACCCGUAGGGAACUUUUGGAUAGGAAAUUGGAGGUCAUGGGCCCAACAGGCCCAGCUGACCAAAUUUGGGAAGUUUGACCACUUGGUUGACCGAGCGUCUUUCGAGGUUAUUUCACAUUUCAGAACAUGUAGUUGGACCUUAGAAACUUCCUGUUUGUUGUAUACACACCUUGAAUUCCGGGAAAAAUUAGGAAUUUAUUUUAAAGUUUCCAUCCAAAUUAUUUUAAUUAAUCUAGUCCUCGUAUUUUUCAAUAGGCACUUCGGCUCAGCGUACUCAAUAGGGUUAAGCAGCUCUAGAUUAUCUGUGAGUGGACUUUGUUUUUAAAUAAUAAUCAUUAUUUUCAAAGAGAAAAAGCUAUGCAUAAUGAGUUAUUCGAUUAUUGAGUUUAACAUAUUAUUUAUUUAAAUGUUUGAAUUUGCAUAUUGUGAUUAUCUUGAAUUAAUAUAUGCUAUGUUUGAGAGUUACUAUCUGACAGGACCCGAUCCAAAUUCCGCUUUGGAAUCCAAGCCGGACCCUGUGCGUGUCCGACACCUGGCGAAUGUCAGGCACAAAUGACCUAUUUGCCCUUCUAUACAAAACAUGAUAAAAUAACAAGGUUGACGUCUACCGAAAAACCGGCAGAGUUUCCCUUGUAACUGGCUCAAUACCAACAUAUUUACACCUGCCAAACAAGUAUAUAUAUACAUCCAACUGCCAGCAUACAUUUAUAUACAGUCCAACCGUUCAAUUCUCAAUCUAGGGCAAAACAUCAGAGCAACUACUAAGAAUUUACAAAGAAGUGAAUCUUUUUACAAAACAAAAAUCCUACAUCAAAGAAAAGGCGCGGAAGAUAGAAAACGGCCCGGUGGUGGAUCACUGUGCACGUCUUCUGCCUGGGGGAGCAAAACAUGGAAAAGGGUGAGUGGACCUAAAAACAAAGUUUAGAAAAUAGCAUAUGAACAUACUAACCCCACUGUAAAAACAGUUGUACAAACUAAAUUAUUCUCUUUAUUUCUGCAAUCAAUGCACGUAUAUAAUUAUACAUGUAAAUAAUCAUAUUCAUGGUCAACAUUACUUUUAAAAACAGUUUAAAACUACCACCUAGGUGUACCCUUUAUUUCCGUCAAUUCCUUAUAUCCGUCAAUUCCUUGCAUCACCAUAGGUGACACAUACUCGCAGGUCUCAGUGACACGAGGUCAGUCCGAGCCGCAACUCGCAUGAUUCAGGGGACCGUGGUCCACCUUUAUCCGCAUACUCGCUCCAUACGAGUUCGAUUACCAAGGAACUUGUGGGGCAACUGUCAAGCAUGCUGACUAAACCGAAGGCAACCAAUAUAAUCCGAAGGCAACAUUUAAUAUCUGGGUACAAGGUGGUUUAACAAAAUAUAAAGUUUCUGAAGCAAAGCUGUUGAAUAAUAAACUUUCUAUAACCUUUCAAAUUCUGCUGCCAUUUAUCUGACAAGUAACUAUAAUUUCUUUUCUUAUAUCCGUUAAAAGGUAUUCCACUCGGCAGCAUGUAAAAUAAAACAGCUUAUAAUUGAAACUGAACUGCUUAAAUUCAUUUAUUAAAACAUAGAGUCCAUUCACCGGUAGUCCGAGCUCGCUGGACCUCUUAAAGGUCCCUCCUAUGGGUCAACUGGUGCCCGGGUGCCUGAUUCAAUGACCAUAAUAUACUAUUAAUACAAUAUAGUGUUAAUAUAAAAACUCUGACCCCCAGCUCCUAAAAGUACAUGCGUACAAUUAAAGUUAUCUCUAUGCCCAUAAAAGCUUUCCUUCCAGUUUAGCAGUAUCUUGGGACUCAAAAAGCGUUAAAGUCCCAAAAAAUCAACCCGGGACCCCACGGGUCCAUGACCUCACAAUAUAAUUCGGAAGCCGCAAGAAGGUCCAAUAUAUCUAGGACACAUGUCCAGAGGGUAUUGGUCUCGAUCGGACGGUCAGAUUGAUCACGAUCGUGCAAUCGCAUAUUUUCCAAACCCAAGCUCUAGGGUUCGCGAUUCUCGGAGUCCCUAGGACUCCGAUUCACAAUCCGUCGAAUCCUACACGAUUCUAAAAUUGUCUAGAGUAACAUAUCUGAAACUGGUUACGAUCCAACGGCUCAACCGUAUUGAACCCGGAAAUCGCACAAUAUGGAAAAUCCGUUCGAGGCUCAAACGGUAUCAAAAUUGAGAUCCGUGAAUUCCUACGCGCUCGUGACAACCUAAGGAUCGCAUCAAGUCUCAGUACCACUGCACUACCCUCGCCCACACGCUGCCGCACGCGCCGGCAGCGCUGGGUGUCCAAAGCGAUUAUGCAUCGCCGGAAAAUCUCGAAACCACGGCUCCGAACUCCUACCAUAGGUAUAACACCAUAUUUGGAACCACUUUUGUUCUUGGACCUACCCCAAAAACUGACCGAAAGUGGCCGAACACGGAGGUCGAAAAUCAGCCAAAUUCCAAUUUGAAAACCGAGCUAUCUACGGUCAAAAUCGAUGCAAACCUACCCAACCAUCAGCUAGAGCAUGGAAAAUAGGUAGAAAUCCAUACCUUACUCGACAAAUUUGGAGAAGAAUUGAGGGAGAACGAGCGGUUGCAAAACUGUGAAAAACCAGCUCGAGUUUUACAGUUUCCGGCGGCUGAACGACGGUGGCUGGCAGCGGGCUGGGCGGGGCUUGAAGACGGAACCGAGCUGGUCCUUUUGGCACCGACGGCAGGGGCAGGGGUGGUCAGUGGCGAGAGUUCUGGCGAUUGGAAAGUGACGGGAAGGAGGACAGCGGGAGAGGGAGAGAGAGAGAGAGAGAGAGGAAAACUUUUCGUUAAAACUCCGAUUCGAGUCCACUUCAUGUCUGCGAACUCAUUUCGUCGUGCUCUACACAACGGUGUAUGUGGAAUUGUCAAAUUCCUUUUCGGUCAAAAAGUCAACUUUUCGUUAAGAAAUUAUUCCAAGGGCAAAAUUGUCUUUCCUCAUAAUAAAUUACUAAUUAAAUAUGAAUUUUAGGUUUGGGUUAUUACACUAUACUUGGAUGCGUGUUGGGUACAUGGGAUUGGUAGAAAGAGAUUAUGGAAUGGGAUUUGAGUUGUGGUUUAUAUUAAUUUUGAAGUGCUUUAGGCACUACCCUAUGUACCUUCCUGGUUUUGGAAUACAUGGAUUGGAUACUUGGAAACUUUUGGGAUACUUUGAUAUGUCGAAACCCAACCACCCUUGACAGGGUGUUUUGUAGACCCUUAGCAGGAUUAGUCUGCAAGCGUAGGACUUGUCACAGGCGUACAAGUAUUGAAGAUUCUGUUGUACAUGUUGGUGAGCCAGUCCCCCGGUUGGACAACUCAUUCCCUAGCCACAUGGUCAAUUGAGGAUUCUUCUAUAUGGUCUAGCCAAACAAUCCCCCGGUUAGAUUAUUUCCUCAGUACAAGUUUGGUAGUGGUCAUACUUAUGUAUAUAUAAAAAAUUUAUAUAUAUACACACAUAUACUUUCGUUCUUGUUUAUCAAUGAGGAUUCUUUCUUGCUUGUGGUGCCAACGGGCACGCGUUUUGGGUGAGAGUAGUUUGGGGAAAAUGGGUAAGGUUUUGAGUGGGAUGGGUAUUACUAUACCAUUAUGAGAUAUGGAUUUCACUUUGGUUUUGACUUAGCUAUAUAUAUAUAUAUAUAUAUCGAUUUUGAAUGCAUAUCCUUUUUAGAAUCGUUUUCCAAAUGGUGGGGGUUAGUAUGUUGUUUUUAACUAUGUAAAAACUUUAUUUUUGUCCACUCACAAAUUUUCUGUUUUGCUCCCACAAGGCAGUAGUUGAGCUGAGUCGAGCGACUAAGCCGAGUCUUGUACUUCCGAGCCCCAAGUUUCUGUAGGACAAUGUUUACUUGUUUUUAAUUCUAUUGAACUCGUUUCAUUGUAAACUGAAUUUCUUUUGAUAUGCUUGGUUAUCGCCCAUGCUAGGGUUGGAUGUAAGGUCAGAGGCCUAUUAUGUAAAUUGCAUGAUUUUUCAUUGUGCAUGCUGUUGUUGGGAUUUUAUUACUUUGUUUUUUACAAGUUAAAAAUUUGGGAAAGUUUGUUUUUCAAGAGAGACUCUACCGAAAUUUUGACAAAAUGUCUAGUUCCUCUUUUCCUUAAUUUGGAAAAGAAGCUAUAAUGUUAGUAAGUGGGCCCGGCAUCAGUUUGAUGUCCGAAAUACCACAGGAUUCGCCACGGAUUCCAAGAAAAUUCAGGGCGGGUCUUGUCAAUUGGUUCCAUAAAUACAAAUAUCCUGGUAGUAGAAAAUAAAUCCGGCGAUCUUACAAUAAAUAGUCGUGAUUUCUGUUUGUGCAAAUAAUCUCACGGGAGAAUAUUCUCUUCUAGAUUCUUCAACCUUCGAUCUUCCUUCUCCCUCUUCCUCGAUUCCUGUAAAAAAGACUAGAGUAAAUAGACCACACCCCCCGUGUUGGCCAAAGGCCCUCCAAUGCCUAAGUUCGUUCGAGUGUUUGUAGGAAAACAAUAGCUAAACAAAGGGUACGGAGUUGUAUGUAGGGUGUAAACCGGGUGACCGGAGCCAUGUGUGGUGGCCGGAGCCGUGUGGAGAAAAUAUGGAGAGUGGCGAGGGAGAGAGAGCUUCGGGUAUUUUUCUCGGGUAUAAGGAGUAGGUUUAGAUGUACCUUGAAUGAUGAAUGAGGUCGUCUAUUUAUAGGAGCCUUGGGGCUAGGGUUUCGUAGGGAUCGAGUCGGACCUGAUAAUAUCCGAAUUAAAUAUAUUAUCGCUUAAGAAGAUAAUAUCUAAAUUAAAUGAUAUUAUCUUCUCUUUAUUAGGAUAAUAUCUUAAUUAAUGAUAUUAUCUCUUUAAAUAAAGAUAAUAUCAUAUUAAUUAAGAUAUUUAUCCCAAUUAAUUAAUUAGCUAGAUAAACUGGUUUAAUUAAUUAAUUUAAGAGAUAAACUUCUUUUCCACGUGGCGUGCCUUGAUUGGAGACGAAAAUAUAUGCUCCCACAAUUUCCAACUAAAGUAAGUCUGACUUCACUUUCCAGCUUUCAUGGUCAUUAAAGUUAUUUGGAGCCGAGUUACCAACAGUGAGGAGUCAUUCUGACAUACCUUAACAUCUAAGAAAUUGUAAACUUUGGGCUAUACUAAUUCAAAUAAUUUUGACCCUUGGAUUAAAUCACCGUUGAUUAUCAAAAUAAUGUGAAUUUAUUUUAAUUUGAUCCCCCUUUGUUUGAAUAGUAUGGGCCAUUCACCACUUUUGGUAAAUAAAGCCCAAUACCUUUUUGAAAAGUGAACCCAAUGCUUAUUUCGGGAUGGUGCACAUAUUUCAGGCCCAAACAGUACCCCUAAGUCUGAAUAUCGUCUCUAAAAAACGAUUUCAUACUUAAUGAUUGGCCUGCCUUCUAUUGAUGUGCGCCCUUUUGAUCUAUUUGCUCCUGCCCACGUCUGUUCAUUGAUUGGACAUUUUGGAAAAGUGGGUAUUAACGAUUAGUUAAUUCUUGGCAACUCUUCUUCUCCCACUAUCUGUCUUCUUUAGAGUAUAAAGCUGCAACCUACUUUACUCUUUUAAAACCAUCAUUAACCCCGAGUUCUUCAAUUUGUAGAGUAUUUCCAAUCUUUGAAAUUUAAAAUUUCAAUGAAAAAUUCAAGCAUUUCCCUAAUUCUGCCUGAAUAUUCUCGAUGGCUUCUCCCAAAACCCGUGCUAGUAGUUCUUCCUCCUUCCCUCCACCUUAUAUUUCAGGCGAAGGUGUUGAUACACAUGCCAUUGAGAUUCGAAGCAAACUCCAUUCAUAUUCCAAGAAGAAUUUGAAUGAAAAUAUCCUACAUUUGAACGGGAAUGCUAUCAUUCUGGGUUCUGCCUAGUUUGGGAAAGUUUUUGAGGAAAUGGCCAAACUUUUUAAGGCAGAUGCUGAAGCUCUGUUUUGCUAUUGUAAUCCUUCUCUAAUAUUCCAUUCCUCGGUUAGCAAGAAUCUAAGCAGAUCAUACCAUUCUAAUGAAGUGAGGAAUAGCUCUAUGAAGUGGUCAUAAUAGUUUGGCCGACUCUCUCCAAGGUAUGAAGGCCAUUGGAAGAAAGCUAGCAUAUAUGAUGCUUUGCUUCUGUCUAAGCAUUCAAUUAAUAGAGAUGAGAAUCUCUUUGCUGCUUCUUUAUGUUUUUGGAAUUCUGCUACAAACACUUUUGACUUUCGUGUUAGCCCUAUGCCUCCAACUCUGCUCGAUAUGGCUCAAAUAUUUGGAUUUAGGCCACAUGAAAGGCCUGCUGAUGCAUUUGGAGAUUAUCACGGAAGGAAAAAUGGUGAAAGAGUAGCUAAAACGAAGCCUUGCCAUUCUUGCCAACGGAAUACCACUUUCCAACAAUUAUUGAGGCCAAUGGCCUUUAAUCUCCUGUUAAUUUAAUCGGAGUCUCCUCCAUGCUUCUCUGAUUUCUCUUUUUCAAAAUGUCGAUCAUUAUCCAAUAGAGCUAUCUGUUUGCCCCUGAAAGUGGAUUUUUCAAGCAAAAAUUGUGCCAUUGCCUAAACGUGUGGCAACUCAAUCCUGUUAAAAACACUGGAUUUUGGUAUGUCCUGUAAUUGUGCUUGCAUAAUCCUGCUGAUGAUAUUUGAUUCUUGCCCCUACUAUACUGGAUGGAUUUAUUUAGAUGGAUUGGAUAGCCUUGUUAAGGCACUAUCCUUCUUCUAUGGUUUAAUAUCUGCAUUUUUAUGGCUAUCUCUGGCUCAUUCACACCUUAUAUUUACAAUAAACAACAAUUCCAGACAUAACAGUUGCCUUUGAUCUAAUCAAAGUUUCCUUGAUAACCCUCCUAUUUUGACAGGGACCUAUCUCCACAGUUGCCUUUGACUGAGAGCCUUUUUGCAUAUCCAUGAGUUAAAAACGAAGAGCAAAUUUACUGGCCAUACUGGAUUGUGAGAAGUGGCUUUGGAGACACUCUUAAAGAGGUGCAGCCGACAGUGAGAGAGAGAAUGGACUCAAAGAGUAUACUGGUGAUGUAGCUGACAAUGAGUUGGUCUUGUUGGUACCACUGAGCACGGGCAGGAUUGGUUUGGGUAAGAGAGAUGGUGGUGAUUGUGGGUGUUACGGUGGUAGAAGUGGAGGUUUGAGCAGAAGGUUGUUUAUGAGUGCCUUCGAUAAAUUUUCAGAGGUCAUGACCGACUCAAAAGAGUUUGAGUUGGCAGAGCCAAAAGAGGUAGUUGGAGUCAGUAAGCUUGAUAAAAUAAGAACAGUUGGGGUUAGGGAAGGAGAUGGUGGAUUCAGACGAAGCCAUAAGGUGGACCUAAAGGAAACGAUUGGAUCGAAUAAGGGAGAGGGAGGAAACCCUAGGUAAGGCUGAUAUCAUGUAGAGAAUAUAUUUUCUUGUAUUAAACAGAAUACACAAAGUCCCUAUUUAUACUGAUACAGGAAAUCAACUUAGGAUAGGAAAUAAUAUAGACAUGAAUACAAUCCCAUUUACAGCAGGAAAAGCUAAUUGCUAGGAGGAGAUUGUGAAGUUGACUUCCGUGUGUACUAGGAAAGGGAAGCUGCGUUAACAUCUUUCUUUGGCCAAUUUAGAUUUACCAUAUUGACUUGAGUUUUGGGAAAAAGGAUUGUAUCAAUAGUGGGGACCUUCUUUGCUAUUUUCAACUUUCUUGAGGCUAAUGCUUCUUAGACAACAUCCCUUAAAACAACACAGCUAUUGGUAGUGUGAUUCAAAGAAUUAUGCCACUUGCAAUACUGUCUUCCCUUCAAUUCUUCUGACUUUGGCAACCUGUGUCUAGGUGGUGUAUCUAUAGCCUUCUGAGAUAACAUUUCAUCAAACAAACCGUCUAACUUUGAUAAAUCAAAAGAAUAAACCUUGUUUGUUGGCUGUUUGUUUGGAAUGAAACCUCCAGUGAAGGGUGGUGGUUUUUGAUCCUUUGGUGCCUUUAGCAAAACUUUACAACUUAUUGUCCCUUUAUUUUAGCCAUUUUUUCCACCACUGCCAUAGUUUCCUCUGGUUCUAGCUCCUUUUCUUAUUCUACCUGCACCAAAUGUAUUGAAGAUGAAGGGGUCUUGUAGUAUGUACAUUUAGAAGCAUUCCUCUUCUGUUGUUAUUCCUUCAAUAAUUCUUCAUAUUUGGUGACCUUAUCCGCCAGUUCUGCUAAGUCUCCAAAUAUUAUUCCAUUGAACCUUUUUCUCAAGGAGAUCCUCAAUGAUGUUUGUCCCAUCUGGAUAAAGUGCCUCUCAUAUAUAGGAAUUCUAAACUUCAUUUUCAGCUUUCUGAACCUAGUAAUAAAGUCAUGAGCUGCCUCAUUCUCACUCAGCUUCAGUACAGUCCUCAGGCUAGAUUCUGUACUAGUAAUCAUGGAAAGCAGUGCUUAGCCUUUUUGCAUAAUACAGUGGAUUAGGACAAGAAAAAUAGGAUUCCUAUGGAAGAACUUCUUUUUUUGGGGGGGGGGGGUUGUAUUCCAUUAGGAUUCUAGAGAGUUUAAAAAGAUUUUGUUUAAGUGCCUGCUUUCAUAGAACUUUAUGGAACUUUAUAAUUCGUAUAGAACUUGAUAGACUUUCAGAAGACUUCUGUAUAUUUUUUUAAUAAACUUUCUUAAGUUUUCAUAGAACUUGAUAGGCUUUUAUUCUAGACUUAUGUAGACAGUAUAUUUCAGUUUAUCCCCAUCCUUGUCAUUUAAAGAAAGAAACUUGAAUUUUUUCAAUCAAAUUUGUUUUUGUUAUCCAAAGCAAAAACAAAAAGUACUUGUUUGCUCUUCCCUUUUCUAUUUACUUGUUGUGUAUUUUCAGACUCCAUUUGAGUGCAGCUAUGAAUUUUAUCAUGUCAAUCAUAAAAUACAGCAUAAAAAAUAUCAAAAAAUGUACAUCAUCAACCAUAGAUUAAACAUGACACAUCUUAUGUUGAAUGGAAAAGGACGCAGUAGGAAUUUACAGAUUUGGGGUCCGAACUCUGAUUGGCGUGUAUGAUACCUUUCUGAAAAGGAAACAAUGCUACGAGUCAAACACACUGCUUUGCUAUGACGUAUGGUGGAUUUUGGGCUUUUGAGGUCGUUUAGGCUUCCAAAACAGCAUUUAAAAGUUGAAAUUUUUGGAUUUUCGUUUUUUUAAUGUUCAUUUAUAUUUAUCUCAGUAUUUUUGUUCGAUUAUAGAAAGGUUGUCAAUUAUUUCAAUUUUCUAUCUAGUCGUAUAUAGAUAUUUCAAAAGAAAAAGUAGUAACAAGCAUAAACCGUAGUAAACAAGCAUAAACCCUAGUAACAAGUAUAAACCUAAUAACAAGAAAAACACGAUGAAGAAAAAAUCAUGGAAAAAGAAAACCCAACAAGGUAUGGAUCAAAGAAAAAAUAGGGAGCAUACCUUCACAGAUGAAGGAAGGAAGAUGUUCAUCUUCGCAGAUAGAAAAGCCAAGAGAAAAACGUAUGAUGAAAUACUUGGGAGGGAGGUUGGAUUAUUUUGGUCUUUGUUAUUUAUAACUCUCCCCUUAAAACCUAUGAAAAUUUAUCACUUAAUGAAAUCCUUCCAAAUAUAUCACCUUUUUUAUAAUCCUAAUUGAAUACACCCAUAUUUGAAUAGACAUUUUAAAAGUUCAUAUAAGUCCGAAUUGAAUACACCCAGACUUGUAAAACCUCUUUUAAAAUUUUGUAUAAAUCCAAAUUGAAUACACUCGGAUUUUUAAAAUCUUUUUAAACGCUUUAUAAUCCUAAUUGAAAACACUCUAUUGGGAUUGUCAUUGCAGCUGCCAUUGGAUUCUAUCAAGCCUAAAUACAUGAUUAAAUAAACUUACAAAAUUUAGAGAAUCUUUCUAUCUUUGCGUGUCUAUUGAGACCGGUUAAGUGUGAACUACUAGGGACUGAAACAUAUUUGUACUUUUUAUCCUCUAAUUGAUCUUUUCCAUGUUUAAUGUUCUCACUUAGAAUUGAAUUUAGAUGGAUAACCUUUAUUUGGAUAAUAUCCAACCCAUACAAGUGAGACAUUUAGUAUAAAAGUUCCAAUAUUUGAAAUUUCCAAGCAAUCUUGUCCAAUUACUUCUGAUAUAAGCCGUCUUUAACAUUAUAUUGGGCAGAAAAUCAGAAUAUUUGGCCAUCUUCAACUUUGUGAGAUGUUCAAAUUUGGUCUACUUCCAGAUUCUAUUUUUGUAUGAAGCAACAAGCUACAAUUAGAUAAUAACUUACUGAAAAAUGAGACAAUAAAGUGGAUGAGGAAUCAAAAUAUAUCAUUACAUUUUCUCAUGUUUCCUGGAGAAUAAAACAUUUAGAAUUGUACAUGGCUUAAAAGACAAAUCUUCUUGUCAUCCAGUUCAAAAUUGGAGUUAUGAUUUUGGGCUCAAUAGUCUUCGAAUCGAGAGUUCAUGAUAUCGUCAUUCGACUGCUUCACAAAUUUUGUAUCUUCGUGCUCAGCUCACAAGCACUUUGACCAUCAAAGAAGGCUUCCCAGAUUCAUAAGCAACAGAAAAAUGUGCAUAUGAUCAAUCACAGCCUCUACUUCAUCUUGACACGGCGAGUUCUUCUGAUCGAACUGAGUGCUGAUUUGGAUAUGAACCAGAUUCACUUCAUUUGCGUUCAUUCAUACACUUAAGCUGGAAGUGAGAUGAAUGAAGGUUUCAUCACUGCAGGGGAUUGUGAUACCACCCAUUGGAUGAUCAUAUCCAAAUUCUUCUUCUGCUUGACUUAGCAAAUCCAAGAACAAAGGCUCAUUCAAGUAUGAUAUUGGAACCACAAAUCGCUUCUUCUGGCUCCCCCCAACAUACACUGCAAAGUAGCCUUUUGGGAUGUCUACGGUGUUUGAAGUAGCAGCCUUGUUUAGACCCUUCUUGGAGUUAACAAUUCCUGGCAAUCGGAAUCCCAUGGUUUUUAUAUUCUCAAGUGGAAAAUUUGAACAAGAAAGAAUUCAGAGGACUUGGGAAACAGAGAAGACUUUGAUGCUUGGCAAGGAGAGAGACUUGAGUUGUUGGUUAUGAACCUGAUCUCUUGUGUAUAUAUAGAUGAAAGAGUAUCGCCUUCUACAUGAAAUGAGUGGUCUCGAGGCGCAGAGAUUUGCCCCAGUGAAGGAUAAUAGCUUGUGAGAAAUCAAAACAUAACAUGGGUUGUCUUCCCACUCGCAUAAAUCAUCUCCACAUGCAAUGACAAAACUGUAUCCCUCUGUACAAACAUCAUUCCCCACGUCUUAUUUCAUCGAGUAAUUUGUUGUGGUCUAAAGAUUGCUAAUGUGUUCCUGUCAAGAGACUAUGGACAGAUAUGUCUUAACCCUGUUUUGUACUUCAAAGAAGUCUUUUCUAUCCGCAUAUAAAGAGUUUGUAGGUGUCACAAAAAAAAUUGUUGGGCAUCAUGUUCUCCAACAAACAUACAGACUUAAUAACUACCAAGUUCUUGAGAAUGAGAUGGAAAACAGACCAUGUGAUCCCUCAAAUUCUCAUGCCUCUUUCCAAUCCCCACCCAAUUGUCCCCAUUUCAGAUAUUUUCCUCUACACACCCUUUCAUCUAUACGUAGACACACACAUACACACAGAUGAUCCCAUAAACAAUUGAAAUCCUGAGUCUUUACAAACAUGAAAUCUAAUGAGACGUGAUCCUAAAAUGAUUUAGUUUCCUGUUUUAUUUGUAUUUAUUUCAUAGAUUUGCUGUAUAUAUUCCUUAUCUCUCAAGGACUUGAUUCUUGCCUAGAAUAGGAAAUCCUUUGUGUAGACACCAAGCAAAGCAUUGUAUAUAAUUAUCACAUGAUUGUUCAAUGAAAAUCAUCGAGAAUAUUCAAAACCUUUCAUGGUAUCAAGAGCCUGAGACUCACAGUCCUCGAUCCUCAAUUUUCUUGUUCCCUGUCUUUUUUUUUUUUUUGUUGGCACCAUGGCUUCUUCCUCGUCUAUUGAUUUUCCUAGCGUUCAUCAUGUUAUCUCCAUUCGUCUCAAGUGUGAUAAUUAUCUGACGUGGCUUGCUCAAAUUGUUCCUAUCCUUCGCAUCUACCGCUUGCUCAGCUUUGUUGACGGCACUUCUCUGUGUCCUCCGACCAUUCCUGACCCAAAUGCUAAGGCCGAUGAAUCUACUUUUCUGUCUCUCCUCCCCAACCCAGAGUAUGAUGAUUGGGUCCAGAAAUAUCAGCUUGUUUUCUCUCUCUCAUCAACGGUUCCUUUCACCAUGAAGUUCUCACCACCGUAGCUUCCAAGACCAUCGCUGUGACACUUGGGUAGCCCUUGAAACUCAUUUUGCUUCUCCGAAUCAGAAUCGUCUUCUUCAACUUCACAGUAACUUGCUUUGCACAACCUGUUGUGAAUCUUCCAUCACUGAUUUCCUUGAUCGUAUUAACUCGAUUGACGAUAACUUGGCUCUGGCAGGUGCUUUAGUUGCUGACUCUGAUCUCCUUGUGAUGGUUAUGAACAACGUUUGUCCUCUUUAUGAAAAUACCAUUGCCGCUACUCAAGCUCGUGAGAAACCCAUCAAUAUGCCUGAUCUUGAUGCUCUCCUCUUGUCUGCUGAACGUGGCCUGUAGUUAUCUUAUUCUCUGGUCAUGUAUUCUGGUGCGACAGCUAUGGAAGCUUCCCAUGGUGGUCUCGGUGGCUGUGAUUUUGGCGAUUGUGCUGGGUUUGCUGGUCAUAGUCCCGAUCUUCCCAACUCAUUCUCUCCCUCACGACUAGGUUUUACUUCUGGUCGCGGUUUCCCUGGCGCUUCCUAUGGCGCCUCUAGUCCUGCCUCACAUCAACAACAUUUUGGUAGCAAUAUCGAGCUGAGUGUUCUUGGCCCACCUCCUUCUGGCUCUACUGCUUCCUCUUUUGGGCUUCAUUCUGCCCCUAGGCCUCUUCAAUGUUUCAAUUGUCAUGGUUUUGGCCACAUCGCAGCUGUCUGUCCUUCCAAGACGUUUUCUGUGCCUUCUCCUCUGUCUCGUCUUCAAGACAUAACUGCUCAAUAUCCUUCACAUGGUGGCCAUCAACAGUGGGUUGAUGAUACCGAUGCAAACACUCAUAUUACCAAUGACCUGAGCUUCUUAUCCCUUGCUAAACAGUAUCAUGGUUCUGACAAUGUUGGAGGUGUGCUUGGUGGAACAGGUUCGCCUAUUAAAAAUAUUGGUCACUCUCGUUUCUCUCACCUUAAUUCUUCUUUUCAUCUUAAUGAUAUUGUUCAUUGUCUCGAUGCAUCUCUUCCUCUCUUACCUAUUCAUAAAUUUCCCACUAACAACCAUUGUUUCUUCACUUUUUUUCCUAAUUGUUAUUUUAUCCAGGAUUUGGGGACGAGGAGGACACUUUCUUGGGCAAGAGUAGUAAUGGCCUAUAUCCCUUUUCAUUUACACCGAAUGAGUUUUUUCAAGUUUUGCGUGAUCGUGUUGCUUUACUAGGUGUCUAUGUUGACCGCUCUGUGUGGCACUCUCGCCUUGGUCAUCCUGCUUCGUCUACUUUGCAAUUUUUGUUAUCUCAUAAUAAAUUGCCAUCUUCUGGCUCUGUCUAGUUCUUUUUGUCAGUCAUGUACGUUGGGUAAAAGUGUUAAAUUACCCUUUAGUCCUUUUUAUGUCCUUUCUUCUCCACUGAAACUUAUUCACUCUGAUGUAUGGAGUUCUUCAAAUAAAUCUAUUUCUUAUUUUAAUUAUUAUGUUUUAUAUGUUGAUGAUUUUUGUCGUUAUUCUUGAAUUUUUCCAAUGAAAUUGAAAUCAUAAGUUUUCUCUCACUUCAUUAAAUUUAAGGCUUUGGUUGAAAAUAUGUUUUUCACUACGAUUAAGGCAUUUCAAUCAGAUGGGGGUGGGGAAUACACUAGUCAUCAAUUUAAGAAUUUUUUAUCUCAUCAUGGCAUUCAUCAUCGUCUUUCUUGUCCACAUCAUCCUGAGUAAAAUGGUUUAGCCGAACGUAAGCAUCGUCACAUUGUUGACACCGGGCUCACUCUUUUAGCCAAUGCCUUUAUGCCUCCUUCCUAUUGGGCUGAGGCCAAGCACACCACUGUUUAUUUAAUUUACCGUCUUUCUUCUAAGUUGCUUCAGUAUAAAUCACCCUAUGAAUUAUUGUUUCACAAAGAACAUAAUUAUUCGUUUUUAAAACCUUUUGGGUGUGCAUGUUUUCCUUAUUUACGGCCAUAUAAUAAUAAUAAAUUACAAUUUCGGUCUUCCAAAUGUGUGUUACUUGGUUAUUCUUUGAACCCUCAAGGUUAUCGAUGCUUGGAUCUUGUUUCUAAUCAUGUUUUUUUAUCGCGUCAUGUGUUAUUUGAUGAAGUUUCUUUUCUGUUUAACAAGGCACAUGCUGCUACUACUCCAGACCAUUCUCCGUCAUCAGACCUGCCUGUCAUCCUCUCUGGCCCAAGUUUAUCUUCAUGCAGCCCAUGCCUUCCAGUGUCGUAUUCUCUGCCUAGUCUCCCUUCUUUGGUGCCAAAAUUAGGAAGCGGAGAGUGAGAACUCACACACACGGGUACCAUGGGAGCUUGAACCCAAGACCUCUUGAGAGCACACCAAAAGCCUAGGAAAAUCCACCUAACACCCCAUUAGUCGACAGUAAAUAGUUCAAUUGCAUAAAAAGAAAACAAGAAGACUUAAUGGAUAUGAAAAAUAGUUUUUCCAACAUAUUUCUUCCCUCGUAUAAGUACAUUAAAAAUUGAACAAAUGAGAUUCCAAAUUGGUUGUCGUCAUCUUUUAGAUCCUUUUUCUAUCUCUUCAACCGUUGGGAGGGUUUUUUUAUUUAAAUUAUUUUUUUGUCAAAAAUGAUUGCUAAUUAAUUACAGUUUUACUUUUUCUUUUUUGCUUUUGUAAUGAAUAAAGAGUACAAAUGAAACAUCGUCAAAAUUGCUUGACAAAGUGGGCUGUCGUUUAAAAAAAAUGUAGAUUACAAGUUUAAUGGACAAGCAAUUUGUGAUCUAUAAAGAUGUUGCUUCCUAUUGCUUUCACCAUUAUUUCCACCAAAGUAAAAUUUAUAGCUGAAAGUUAGAUCAGUUUCGUACACAUAGUAGAUCCAAAAUGUUACUACCAAAAAGGCUUCAGUUUUAACUUGCUACACUUUGCCUACCACUGGAAAUAUCCAAUUCGGAGUGCAUGAGGGUAAAAUUGAGUGUCAUUAUUGGUAGUGAAAUACUUUGUGAUUAGGAAAUAUAUCUUGACAAUUUGAUUAUAACAAAUGAAUAGAAAAAAAAUUAGAAAUACCUGCAUAUAUAGUUAUGGAACAGUUAGAGAUUGAAAUUUCAACCGGCCAGCAAGAAAGGAAAAGGGAGAGAAUCCCAAAAACAAUAGAAAUGUGUGGCAUGGGAGGAGCCCCUAUUAUGUCACCUCCUUAGUUUUCAAUUAAGAAAACGUAGUGAAAAUAUGAGAAUCCUUCCCAGCCACACAUCUCCAUUGGCCUCUGGGAGGCCUAUCUCCCAUUUCAAGUCAGCCAAUUCUAAGAGUGUAUUAUGCUCUCAAGAUUUAGAGCCCAUUAUUUAUAGGGAAGCCAAGGGUACAUAAGUUCAAAAAAUAACCUAUAGUGCCCAUGGUUUCCAUAUGGUGAGGAAUCUAUGCGCCAUCGUAGUUGUUUCACCACAUGUUUUGACAAUUUUCGUGAGGAAGCGAAAAGGAAAAUUGGGUUGGUAUUCUUGCAUGCUUCCCACACGUCGUAAAAUAAAUUCUUGAUAUACCUAUUAAACCAUUUCUUUUAUCAGUUCACGUGAUGAACACGAUGAGAGAGAUAAAGAGAAACCGGCCGGUUACAUCUGACACCUAUGAACAGAAAAGAAUCCAAAACCGUGAUAGGUUGGUGAAGGGAAGUGAUGUUUUUGGUUUUCCAAAAUUGGAUUUUGGAUUUUGGGGAUAUUAGUACCAGUUUUUGAGCCACUAAAUAAUUCGAUUGCAUAAUCAAACUUAAAACAAAAGUUACAGGUAUGUUAGAUAUGAAAUAUAAUUCAAUUGCCUUCUACUUGAUUAUGAUCUUCCUCGCUGGACUAUGAAUGCUAUUGGGCUUCUAAUUUGUUGCUCCAAAAACCCAUUUACCGCAACGGGCCAUUCAUCGGGCCUCCAUAAAUUCAGGUCCAAUCAACAUUUAUAUGGAGAUGAAUGCUAGAUUGGAAAAUCCAUGAAAUCUGCAGUAUGUGGUGGUGUAGAGGCUAUAUGCUGUGGUGGGGAUGAAUGGGGAGACAUAUGCAUAUGAAGGAUCACAUGGUUCUGUCUUCCACAUCAUCAAGAAUUUGGCAAUGAUUGAGACUUCAUAUCUGUUGGAUUGUGUUUUAGUUUUAAAUCUGAAGUCCUUGCUAGGACAGGAAGCUAGACAAGUUGCUGACUCUAAUAUAUCUUUAUAACGGUAUGUAAAUAUUUUUGUAGUUUGUCAAAAAUAAAAAAAUCUUGUCAUGCACCUAUCAAUAAUACAUUGAGGUUUUUUUUCCCUCAGAUAAUUUGUUUUUCUAAGGGUUUUCAAAAAUCUAGUUUAUGCAAGCUGGAAUUAUGCAAAUAGACUUUGGCAAGAGAAAAUUAAUGUCAUAGCAUAUUGUCAUGAAACAAAUAUUUGUGUCAGGAGUUGAUUUGCAAGAAUGUGUUUCAUCAAAAUUUGAUAACUUAGGAUCAAUCAAGCAUUAAAAAUGCCACUGAAAUGGGCAUGAUAUUUCCCCAAUCUGUAUGAGGAACCAUGUAAAAAGUUAUAUGGUCAGCAUUUUAGUCAAAUUCUUGUGCAAAUCUGCUACCACUUGUGGGAUUAACUAUAUAACAAGGGCUACAAGAAGAUAAUACUAUAAUGCAAACCAUAAGACAAGAAAGGAUGAGGAUUUCAAAUAGAUUGUAUAUUGCUCCUGGAGAACAACAAAGAAGUUUACAUAGGUUCAAAAGACAGAAUUUGACUGCCUUUGGGUGGGGGAUGAUAUUUGGACCAAUGGUUCUAGGGAGUUCAUAAUAUCAUCACUUGUCUGCUUCAUAAAAGCUCAGCCUAGAAGCAGCUUCAGCAUUUGAGAAGGUUUGCUUUCACCAUAAGAUGUGAGUUGAUUCCAUGGAUGAGCAGUGGUAGCCUCUUCUUCAUCCCAACUCAGCGAGUUCUGAAAUGUGGAUGCUUUGGAUAUGAUCAUAUCCAAAUUCUUUCAUCUUGGCUCAGUGAGCUCUGAAAUGAGGAUGGUUUGGAUAGAUUGGAUGACCGAUUCGUGUACACUCACACACUUAAGCGGGAAGUGAGAUCAAGGAAGGUGUUUUCACUGCAGGGGAUUGUGAUACCUCCCAUGGGAUGAUCAUAUCCGAAUUCUUCUUCAGCUUGACUCAGCAAAUCCAGGAAUAAAGGCUCAUUCAAAUAUGAUAUCGGAAUCACAAACCGCUUCUUCUGGCUCUCCCCAACAUAGACUGCAAAGUAGCCUUUUGGGAAAUCUAAAG